ACAUCAUCUGUGGUGUUUUUAUGUUUUGGCAGCGUUGGAGCAUUCCACAUGGAUCAAAUCAAAGAAAUUGCAAUUGGGCUUGAGAAUAGUGGGCAUCGUUUCUUGUGGACGCUCCGACGACCUCCACCAAAAGGUAAGAUCGCAAUGCCUACUGAUUAUGUGAAUUUCGAGGAAGUACUACCUGAAGGGUUCUUAGAUCGUACAUCUAAAAUUGGAAAGAUAAUUGGAUGGGCACCACAAACGGCUAUUUUAGCUCACUCUGCAAUAGGAGGGUUUGUAUCUCAUUGUGGGUGGAAUUCUACAUUAGAGAGCAUAUGGUAUGGCGUCCCGGUAGCUACAUGGCCUAUGUAUGCAGAACAACAAUUGAAUGCGUUUCAAAUAGUAAAAGAGUUAGAAAUAGGGGUAGAGAUCAGAUUAGAUUAUAAAAAGGAUACUAGUGAUAUUGUAAAUGCUCAAGAAAUUGAGAGUAGAAUAAGAAGUUUGAUGGAGGAUAGCAAUGACAUAAAAACAAAUAGGGCAAAGAUGAAAGAAAAGUGCGUGACAGCCCUAACGGAAGGUGGAUCUUUAGAUUCUAGCUUACAACGUCUAAUUGGAGACAUGAUAACUAAUAUCUCAUGAAGCAAUGUUUUAUCAAAGAAAAGUUAUAAGUUGUUAAAAAUGCUUAUUUCAAUUGCCUUUUAAUAAUAUAUUGGUUGAGUGUCGUGGAAAGGUUGAUUCAACUAUUUACUUAUUUUAAAUAAAAAUAAGCGUAACAUAUGUUAUGUCUUGUGUAACAAUUUUAUUUUAAUAUUAGGUGAUGUAUCAAAUCCAAAUUGCAUGUUUAUUUUAUUAUUUAAAGUUUGUUAAAGAAACGAUAAAUGCAUGAUAAUAAAAAAUUUAAAGUAAAAUAGGCCAACUACAUGGAUGAAGUUUUUCAUUUGGAUAUUUAAUUAGGAGUCUCUACAUUUUCCUUUUUCUAAUAUUUAAAAUCUUUUUUACUUAUUUAAACAAAAUAUUAAAUAUGUAAAAAGUCUACCUUUCACCUUUUAAACAAAUAAAAAAAAUACAAAAUAGUUUUAAAUCCAAUUUAAUCCUACAUAAUCAAAGUACAAAUAAAGCAAUAUUCAACGACGUGGAAGAGACAAAUAAAAUAGAGGAAGGCUUUUUAAUUAUUUUAAAUUUUGGUGUAUUAAAUAUUAAUAUUUCUAUGCAUUUUUUUAAAGACGGGGACAUAAAAAGGUUUUACGCUUUCUCAUCUUAUAUGUCAUGUUCUUGUAAACCCUUAUACUAAAUUAGCAUGUCCCAUUGUCAUUUUCAGUCAAUUUGAUGUUUAAUUUUGUUGUUAUUAAAUUGUGAAAGGUUAACAUAGACCUCCAUUUUUUAUAUAUCUUCUCACUCAAUGGUAAGAUUCGUUUUUUAUUUGUGAAAAUCUGAUUUCUAAAAAAGUAGAGUCGUUACUUAUUUUAAUUUAAUUUUUAUGAAAAAAAUAAAAUAAGAAAAACCACAUAUUACUCCUUAUUUGAAAAAAAUAAUAAGUUUGUAAACCAAAAGCAAAUUCACUGAUCAAGUUAUUUAUCGAGAAAGUAUAAUAAUGAACUGUAACACUUUUCUAAGUCUGUGUCUAUAAUUUAUACUAAAUGAAUGAAGAAAAUUAUAACAAUUGAUUAAUUAAUUAUAAAUAUAAAAAAAGUAUGAUGCAAAUAUGAGUAAUAAGAUAAGGUAGAGACAAGUUACAAGAAUAUACAAAAUUUCAAUUUAUUUGCAAAAGAUUUGAUUUUUAUUCAAAUUCGAAUUUAUUUUGAAAAUGACUUUUCUUGUUUUUAUUAAAGGAGAUUAUUGAAUGUAAUUUUACUAAAAAAAAUGUUCAAUUUGAUUUUAUUUAUAAGAAAUGAUUUUUAUUUAUGUUUGUUAGGAAAAGAAUGAAUUUUUACAAUUUUAUUUUUAAUAGAAUAUUUUAUUGCAAAUUUUAUUUUAAAAAUGGAUUUUUACAAAUUAUUUAAUAUGUAUAUAUAUAUAUAUAUAUAUAUAUAUAUAUAUAUAUAUAUAUAUAUAUAUAUAUAUAUAUAUAUAUAUAUAUAUAUAUAUAUAUAUAUAUAUAUAUAUAUAUUUUUUUNNNNNNNNNNNNNNNNNNNNNNNNNNNNNNNNNNNNNNNNNNNNNNNNNNNNNNNNNNNNNNNNNNNNNNNNNNNNNNNNNNNNNNNNNNNNNNNNNNNNUAUUUAUUUAUAUAUUUUUAAUAAAAAAAAAAAAUAUAUAAAUAUAUAUAUAUAAAUAUAUAUAUUUAUAUAUAUAUUUUUAUAAAUAUAUAUAUAUAUAUAUAUAUAUAUAUAUAUAUAUAUAUAUAUAUAUAUAUAUAUAUAUAUAUAUAUAUAUAUAUAUAUAUAUAUAUAUAUAUAUAUAUAUAUAUAUAUAUAUAUAUUAUUAUUAUUAUUAUUUUUUACAAAUUUGGUUUAUUAUACUAUAAAAUAAAUAUUAUAGCAUAAGGUUUCUUGCAAAAAUCAGAGUAUCAAUUUACAUAUUGAUUCAAUCAUAUGAUCGAUGAUCCCUAAAGGAAUUGCUUAGUUUAUUAUGUAUAUGCAUUCAUAGAUAUCUUAAAAUCCCCAAAGGAUUCAAAAUGUCUUAAACAAAUAAUUCCCCGAAAUAUUAAUAUAUAUGAAGCAAAUAAUUAUCUCAAGGAUAAAAAUAUCUAAAGCAAUGAUUGAAAAUCUUAUAUUACAUUUGCGAUCAUGAUGAUAAUAUAUUUUUAUCAAUUUAUGUCAUUAUACUGAUUAAAGUGUAGGUUUGUAAUUGUUAUAAGCUCAUUGAAACUCUUGAAGAGCUAAUAAAAGCGGUUAAUUAAUUACUAAUUAAGGAUCUUAGAAAACCAAAAUUUUACCUUAGCUUGUAGAUUAAACACUUUCCAAAUGGAAUGUUAGUUCAUUAGUUAGCAUAUACAAAAAGUCCUAAAGUACUUUCAUAUAGACAAAUCAUACGCACUUAACUCUUCUAUGAUUGUUUGUUCACUUGAAGUGGAUAAAAAUAUGUUCCAUCCCAAAGAAGAGAAAAGAAAAAAAGUUUGGUCCAAGAGUAUCAUAUCUUAAUGCAAUUGGUACAUUGAUGCAUUUGGUAAAUUGUACCUUAUUAUAGUAGCAUUUUCUAUCAAUUUGCUACCAAGAUAAAACUCUAAACCAACAUGAAAACAUUAGAAUAAGACCAAACAUGUAUUACAAUAUCUUUGCGGAGCAACUAAUAUGAGUUUAUUUUAUUCAAAAUGAGAAAAAACUCAACUACUUAGAUAUAUGGAUGUUAACUAUCAUUUAGUUGACCCCCACAAAGCUCAACCCAAAUGGGAUAUAUAUUUAUCUAUAGUAGUGCAAUUAUGUCAUGGAGAUCAAUCAAACGAUCAAUGAUAAUCACUUCUUCAAAUUAUUUAGAGAUACUUUCAAUUCAUGAAGCAAAUCAUGGAUGUGUAUGGUUAAGGUCAAUGAUUCAACAUAUUCGGGAAUCAUGUAGACUACCCUCUAUCAAAGAUAAUAUUAUCAAGUUACAUGAAGAUAAUCCUAUUUGUAUUAUACAAAUUAGAUGAAGAUUUAUAAAAGGUGAUAGAACUAAGUAGAUCUCUACCAAAUUCUUUCAUAGCUCUAAGAGGAUGGUGAAAUCAAUAUUUAGCAGAUCAAGUUGUAUGAUAAUCUAGUAGAGAUGUUCACAAAGUUACCAUCGAAUACAUUGAAAUGGUUAAGAUACAAUAUUGGAAUGAGGGAAUAGAGAGAUUUACCAUUGAAGAGUUGAAGAAAGCCUGAUCAUGUUUACAUGAGGAGAAUACUAACAUGGAUAUAUUACACUAUUUUUUCUUUUGUUCAAGUUUUAUCCCAUUGGGUUUUACUGACCAGGUUUUUAAUGAGACAAUUCUAAUGGUCAAAUUAUUUUAAGGGUAUUGUACACUUUGUCUUUCACUAAGUAUUUUUCCACUAGAUGUUCCUCAUUAAAGUUUCAAAAAGUCAUAUUCUUAUGGUCAUACAAGGGGAAGUGUUAUGAAUAAUGGAGUUUGCCACAAGAAUUUGUUAAGAUAUGGGAACUUGUAGAUGAUCAUCCAAUUUUUGAUAUAGAUGAUUAUCUAAAAUGUCGUUGUAAAUCUCCUUUUGACUUUUUAUAAAAGUGAGACCUUCUAACGAAUUGAAUAUACUACUCUAAGCAUAAUAAUUUGUUUAUCUUUCAAUUUCUUCUUCUUUUAUUUUAUAACAAAGGUUUUAGUUUUAGUUUUCCAAAAAAUUGAAUUUCAAAAAUAUUGAAAUAUAUAUAUAAAAAAAUCAACAAAAAACAAUUGUAAUACAAACAUGUGGCCUAAUAAGAGUGCACCACACAGUAAAAGAAUAAGUCAACUGAGAAGUGUGGAAUAAUUUUAUUUUUUUUAAAUGAUUUACUAAAAAAAUAUCAUGCAAUGCAAAACUUGUCAAUUUCGUAAUAUUAUAAUUAUUUCCUAUUAAAUAUUUGAAAAUAAAAAGGAAAAAAUGAAAUAAAUUGCAUACAUGUUCAAUUUUAACAUAAAAAAGAAACACAAAUUUGUUUUAAAUAAAAGAAAUGAAUUGUGUAAAUUAAUUACAUGUAGUCCUUUUUAUUUAAAUAAUCAGAAUUUUAAAAUUUGAGUUUUUUAAAAAUUAAACUAGAAAAAUAUUGAAAUAUAAAAGAAAAAUUGUUUUCAUAAAUAUAUAUAUAUAUAUAUAUAUAUAUAUAUAUAUAUAUAUAUAUAUAUAUAUAUAUAUAUAUAUAUAUAAAUAAUAAUAAUUCAUAUAAUUUCAUAAAAAUUUAAUAAAACAUAAGUUUGGUAUUAUAUGUUAAAUGAGGUUUUGAUUUUUUAAAAACUUUGACUCGAGAACUUCGACAUUGGAAGGAACAAAAGAUGUAUUUUAGAGUUUAAGGUUAGUUACUUUGCUUGUUCAUACAAUGAUAUUUGUAUUAUUUUUCUCAAAUCAUUUAUGCAUACACCGAACUUGUGCAAUUAUGACCAUCACCUAGUAAUGAGGAUCAUACCUUAACUUCACGAAGUUAAAGAUUAAAAAUCAUUUUCUUACUGAAAAACAUAAAGAUAACCAUUAAUAUUUUUUAGUUCCAACAUGAUAACUCUUUUUUUGGAUUUCAAAUAAAUAAUUCAAUUUGAAUUAAAAUCCUUUAUAUAUAUAGACACACAUAUAUCAUCAUUAUCAUCAUCAAAGUUUUAAUACGUCUCCCAUUGACACAAUUUCAUCAUCACCCACUAUUUUUUUUUUCCAACGAAAUGUUCUCCCUAAAUAUUUUACGCAACAAAAUAGUUUGUGGCAAAAAAGUUACUUUUCAUAGUGCAAAAUUUGUUGCCAUAAGGCCUGAAUUCAUGAAACUUUUGUUGGAAUUUAUAUAGGUGAAUGGAAAUUAGGAUUUUCUUUUUCUUGGAAAAUAUGUUAUUUCUUAAUAAACACAAUUUGUUUUAAAGGAUGUGUCUUAUAUUUAAAAAAUACGUCCUCUUCCAAAGGAUGUGUUUAAUGUCUUAAGACAUAAUCCUUCAAAUGAUGUGUUUAGUAUUUUAAAGACAUGUCUUUUCUAAAGGUCACCUUCAAGUUUAUAAAUGGGGAACCCCUGUCUCCCAUGGCACUUUCAUUCAUUCAUCCAUUCUCUCCACUCUUUCUCUUUUCUUGUCAUUCAAGUCCUCCUUAACUUCAAGUCUAAUUAUUUCUCUUUUCUACCAAAUAUUUAGUAUACAAGAGAGUACAAAUCACCAAGUGAUUCACCGUUUUUUGUGAUUUGAAGUGCUAUUAUCACAAGAAAGUGAUUAUUGUAUCCUGGAAGACGAUUGUCAAUAAACCAUAAACACAAUGAUAUAGAGUCAAACUUUAGUCUCAAUCAACCUUAUUUGUGAGUUUCAAUUUUCUACUUUAUUUUAUUUAUAUAUUUAUUAUACACACUUAUUAUCCAUAUAUCUUCAAUGUUUUAGAUAGAAAUCUUAAGACAAAUUUUAUUUUAUUUUUUACAACUGAAUUUUUCUUUUUAAGUGAAUCUGUUAUUGGGAUUGAGCCCCAAAAAAGUAAGACAUGAUGUAACAAAGUUAGACUUAACCAUCCACAUGCUAUCCCUUUGGUAUAUUGACAUUGAUUUGAGCAUUCAACUCAUGUCUCUUACAUUGUACAUGACUUGAGUGCAUUAUGAGUUCCACUAAAGAUACAAGUCAUGAGUUCUUUGUAAGUAGAUAAAUUGUCCACAGUUGGUUUAUGAAUUUGGGCAAUCCAAUAGAGACUCUAGUGCACCACCUCCUAACUAGAGGGAUGACUUGGCUUGGCUGUGGGAAUGGAUUUCCUAUGGUGAGUGCACUAGUGUAUGUGAUGUACACUAGAAAGGACCUAAGGUGAAUCAUCAUGCAAGGCUACCAAUUGUCACAAUUCACCAAGCUACUAGACUGCAUGUACUCUCAACCUUGAGAGGAUAUUGAGUUUGUGUCAAAAUCAACAGGAGGUUUUGACCUAUGGGUGAGACCUUAAAGUGGUCACAUAUCCUUAUGGAUUGGGUCACUAUUAAUGGAGUUCAUGGCAACAAGUAUUCUCAAUAAAAACAACAUGAUAUCUCAUAGGAUUGAGAUAGUGUAUCUCAUUAGGUGAUCCAAAGGACAUGUGAUCAUGUAAUCUUUGGCCAUAAUAAUUCCUUUAGUGGAAUUUGACAUUUGCUCAUUAGAGCUAGAGUAUGUUAAUCGAUUACAUAAUAAGUGGAAUAUGUAACUCAAUGAUUUGAGAGGUAAUCUCAAUAGGUGAUAACACUACCUUGUUAGAUUACAAACACCAGUUUAUGGGGAGUUUGCAUGUACUGGAUAGUAAGUCACGGACUUGGGCACUUGAUGUCUCGUUAUAAUAUACAUAUGGUACUGAAGUGCAGUUGACUCUCUAUAGUGGGAUGUUGAGCCAAUUUCAGAAUUUGAUUCUGAGGAAGCCAAUGAAUAUGGGUCCUAAUGGUCUCUACUCUAAGCUCAUAUUCCUUAUUGGCACAGUUUAUGAGGUUUGGAUGGGUUUUUAGUUCACUUUUUUUGCAUAGAGGCAUUUUAGUAAUUACAUAAGGUUGCACAAGGAUAAGUGGGUGGUAUCUCUAAACUGGGUUAAUUGAUUAAUUAAGGCCUUGUAUGGUUAAUUAAUCAAUUAGUAACCUUUUUUAGUUAUAUUAAGUGACCUAAGCCUAUGAUGACUCAAGUCACUUGAGCUUAAUAGGAAGCUUAUAAAUACCCUUUUAAAGGUUAAAGUUUUAAAGUCUUGUCAUUCUCUCCUUUAGUUUAGAUAGAAAACCAUAGCCUUUAUCCUUGAGAGCUCCACCAUCUUAGUGCCUAGACAUAAGAAAGAGUCAUCAGGCGAAAGAUCAUGGUGAUUACGAGAUCUAUUACACUUUGGAGUUAUCUACAUUGAUUGGAAUUGAUCCGAGAACAUCCAAAUCAAAUGUAUGUGACUCUAUUCUCUAUAUCUAUGUUUUUUAUGGUAUUCUUAUUGUUUUUUAAUACCUAUUUAUCCACUACGAUAGAUUUGGAGAGCCUAGGAUAGAUUUGUAUGUACCCUACACGAUCUAGCACAUGGGAACAAAGUAAUCCAAGGUUCCCAACAAUUGCAUCUUCUAUUAUACCUCUUAUUAUUGCACAUGGUGAGAAACCUAGAAGUUCACUAGGAUAGACUUCAAGAAGUGGCUAAAGCACCCUUUCAUUCUAUUGAAAGGAACAUUAAGCCUUUAGAAUUAAUUCACAUUGAUAUUUGUGAUUUAAAGUUUAUGCAAACUAGAAAAGGAAAAAAGUAUUUUGUCACUUUCCUUUAUGAUUGCACAAGAUACAGUUAUGCAUAUUUUCUAAGAAACAAAAAUGAGGCCCUAGAAGUGUUUAAACACUAUAAGAAUGAGGUUGAAAAUCAACUUAGCAAGAAGAUAGAGAUGAUAAGAAGAGAUAGAGGUGAAUAAUAUAAACCACCUUUUGAUGAGUUCUAUUUAGAGCAUGGUAUUAUUCAUCAAGCCACUGCUCCUUAUUCACCUCUAUCAAAUAGUAUUGUUGAAUGCAAGAAUCGAACAUUAAAGGAUAUGAUGAAUGCUAUGUUGAUAAGUUCUUAUUUAUCCUAGAAUUUGUAGAGGGAAGAAAUUCUUUCUGCUACCCACGUUCUAAACAAAAUACCACACAAGAAAAAUGAUGUAAAUCCAUAUGAAUUAUGAAAAGAAAGAAAACUAUCUUCUAAAUAUUUGAAAUUGUGAGGGUGUUUAACUAACGUAGUUAUUUCUAACUCUAAAAAAGUUUAUCGGUAAUGCCAAUAAUAGUAGUGCAUAUCAGUUCCUUGUAUAUAAAUUAUACAUUCUUGAUAUUCAUGAAAAUACAAUCAUUGAGUAAAGAAAUGUCUUAUUUUAAGAGAACACCUAUCCAUGUAAAAGUAUACCAGAGAAAAGUUCUCAAAAAAGAACAUAUGAGACUGCUAGUAGUAGUCAUCAAGAUGUUGAAGAACCCAGACACAGUAAAAGGGUCAAAGUAUCUAAGUCAUUUGUUCUUGAUUAUCUAACUUAUAUGUUAGAAAAUGAAUCUCAUACAUUUAAGGAAGAGCAUAGAAUAGCAUGUAUAAUGGUAAGUUUUUACAUAUACGUCAAAGACACAAUAUAGUAAGAUAGUUACUUUCAAAUGAAGUGAUUUCCAUUGAUUACAUGAAAUCAAAAGACAGUCGUAUAGAUCUGACUUACUAAAGGUUUGCCAAGAGAUCAAGUUAACUACUUAUUGAGGGGAAUGAGAUUAAAGCCUAUGACCAAAUAGUCUUCAUAAUGGUAACCCAACCUAGUUGGUUGGAGAUCCCAAGAUCUAGGUUCAAAGGGACAACUAAGUUAUGAAUGACUAAAACAAACACUAAAGAUAUUAUCUCUUUUACCUAUUCCUAUGAUGAAAUAGUGUUUUUCUAUAAUGUGAACUUGGUUAAGCUUUGCUUUAAUGAAUCCUAUAGCUUGGAAAACAAGUGGGGUAUGGUAGGAUACUCUUAAUAGGAAUCACGUAUGUGAGUGUGAAAUUGGGUCAUUUCUAUGAGAAUUUUUAAGGCUAAAAUUCUCCAUGACACUCAUGAAAUCAAGAUUUGUCCAGGGCCAAAAUGAACACAACUAUGAGAAUUAAUGGUGAUUCAGAAAGGAAUUGAGUGGAUAUUAUUGCAUAUCAGUUCCUUGUAUAUAAAUUAUACAUUCUUGAUAUUCAUGAAAAUACAAUCAUUGAGUAAAGAAAUGUCUUAUUUUAAGAGAACACCUAUCCAUGUAAAAGUAUACUAGAGAAAGUUAUCAAAAAAGAACAUAUGAGAUUGCUAGUAGUAGUCAUCAAGAUGUUGAAGAACCCAGACACAGUAAAAGGGUCAAAGUAUCUAAGUCAUUUGUUCCUGAUUAUCUAACUUAUAUGUUAGAAAAUGAAUCUCAUACAUUUAAGGAAGAGCAUAGAAUAGCAUGUAUAAUGGUAAGUUUUUACAUAUACGUCAAAGACACAAUAUAGUAAGAUAGUUACUUUCAAAUGAAGUGAUUUCCAUUGAUUACAUGAAAUCAAAAGACAUUCGUAUAGAUCUGACUUACUAAAGGUUUGCCAAGAGAUCAAGUUAACUACUUAUUGAGGGGAAUGAGAUUAAAGCCUAUGACCAAAUAGUCUUCAUAAUGGUAACCCAACCUAGUUGGUUGGAGAUCCCAAGAUCUAGGUUCAAAGGGACAACUAAGUUAUCUCUUUUACCUAUUCCUAUGAUGAAAUAGUGUUUUUCUAUAGCGUGAACUUGGUUAAGCUUUGCUUUAAUGAAUCCUAUAGCUUGGAAAACAAGUGGGGUAUGGUAGGAUACUCUUAAUAGGAAUCACCUAUGUGAGUGUGAAAUUGGGUCAUUUCUAUGAGAAUUUUUAAGGCUGAAAUUCUCCAUGACACUCAUGAAAUCAAGAUUUGUCCAGGGCCAAAAUGAACACAACUAUGAGAAUCAAUGGUGAUUCAGAAAGGAAUUGAGUGGAUAUUAUUGUUUUUAUUUACAUCAACAACUAAACAGUUCAAGAUAUCACGUUCACUGAUUAGCUAGUAAAUUUGAUAAUAUUUCACUAAGAUUCAAAGUCACAAGUUACCUAUCCUAACACAAUUACUUUCCAACUUGUACUCUUUUGAUUGUUUAGCUUGUCAUUUGAAUUUUUUUAAGACAAUUUCCAUUCAUGUGAGGGAUUAUUGGAAUUCAUAUAAGUGAAAGGAAAUUAGGAUUUUUUUUCUUAGAAAACGUGUUGUUUCUUAAUAGACACAACUUAUUUUAAAGAAUGUGUCUUGUAUUGAAAAGACACAUCCUCUUCCAAAGGAUGUGUCUUGUAUUUAAAAGACACAUCCUAUUCCAAAGGAUCUGUUUAAUGUCUUAAGAAACAAGCCUUCAAAGGAUGUAUCUAGUAUUUUAAAGACAUCUCUUCUAAAGGUCACCUUCAAAUCUAUAAAUAUACAUUUCUUCUGAAUGAAUAUUCAUCCAUUCUCUCCACUCUUUCUCCUUUAUUAUUAUUCAAGUCCUCUUUAGCUUCAAGUCUAGUCAUUUCCUUUUUUUUACCAAAUAUUUGGUAUACAAGUGAGUACAAAUCACCAAGUGAUUCACCAUUUUUUUUAUUUUUUUUUGUGAUUUGAAGUAUUACUAUCACAAAAAAGUGAUUGUUGUAUCCUAUGACACGAUUGUCAAUAAACCAUAAGCACCUGAGUGGGACAAAUUCGUCUUAAGAAUAUAAAGUCAAACUUUAGCCUCAAUCAACCUUAUUUGUGAGUUUCAAUUUUCUACUUAUUUCAUUUUAUUUGUAUAUUUAUUAUACACACUUAUUAUUCAUACUUUUUUUCAAAGAUUUGGACGACUUUAGUAGUAAAUAGAGAUUUCUUCUCCAAACAUGAUUUUAGGAGAAGAAAUUAUGUUUAUGGAAAAAAUUUUAUUAUAGAAAAUCAAAUUUAAUGUAGUAGACCUUGACCUAUUGUGUUUGAAAGUCUAUGAUUAUUGAUAAAAAAAAAAAAAUUAAUGUUAUUUUUCUUUUAAUUACAAGCCUUAUAUAUAUAUAUAUAGUUAAUAUUUAAGUAAAAAACCUUUUAGAAAUGUCAAGUCAACUCUAUUUAUGGAAUAGUUUUAAAUUUUCCUUUUAGCGAAAGUUGAAAUAAAAGUAAAAUAACUACUUUUAUUAUAAGUUGAUUUUAUGUUUGGAAUUAAAUGCUUUUAUUCAAAAUAAAGAAUAAUUAAGAUAUUUUUAAAUUUUAGUUAAAUAAAACUUGUUGAAUACACCAAUAUUUUCUCUCUUUACACCCAUCUUAUUUUUAAUUUUUUCUUCAUCAUCCUUUUGACACUCAUGUCUCAAAUCUUAAUUAGCUUUCUUAUUCACUUUUCCUCUCCUUUCCUUUAUUUUAUUUAAAUUUUCUUUUAACUAAAAUAGAAAAACAACUAAAAAAUAAAAAGGGUGGUGUGCAACCAUGACUAUUGUUGUUAUAGAUAUAAAAGAAUUGAUGGGUUAAAUUACCACUAAAUUAAUCAUCAAAACUUUAACUUUUUAACUCAAUAAAAUUUAGACUUGACAAGCAAUGAGUCAUACACAUUGAAUAAAUCUUAUGUAAUUCAAAAAGUGAUAUAUGAUUAAAUUUGAAAGGCUAGGAAAUCAAAUCUUGUAAAAUAAAAAUAAAAUAAAAUAAUUAAAGUAAAAAGAGAAUUAGAAAAAGAUAUUCUCUUGUUUGUAAAUUUCUGAAAUGAAAGAAACAAAUUAUUUAAUUGAAGUCAAAAGAGAAUUGUAAAGAAAUAUUCUCUUGUUGAUAAAUUUUUUAAAUGAGGGACACAAAUUGCUAAAUCAAUUUAUCAAAUUCCUUAAAUUGAGUAAUCAAAUAUUGGGGAUUCCAAAUUUAAUUUCUUAACUUCACCUAUAAAUAAAGAUCAACUUCUUCAAUAUAGGGGAUUAAAAAAUAAAUAAAUAAACUUUAGAAGAAGACAAAGAAAAAAGGUUUCACAAAAUGGCCCUACAAGUCCAACAAAAGCACAUGAAAAACUAGAUAUAUAUUUUUCACCGUUCUCAAAGUUCAAUAAAGUCAUUUAGAAACAAGCUAUGCAAAACUCUCAAUUGAACUUUAAUUUCAAAGAAAUACUUACACCGUCAUUCAUUGGAUUGUGAUUAAAACAAUCAAAUCAGAGAAAAAUUUUCUUUACAAAGAAUAUUAUAAUAGAGAAUUGUACCUCAUAAUUUUUCUAAUUGGGAAAAUUUAGGUAGGUGUAUUUAACAAUUCUUUAAAAAAUAAAUUUUAUCCCUAAAAAAUUAAUAUACAUUUAUAGGAGCACUAAGUGACAAAAUUCGAAACUAAUGGAUGUUUGAUGUAAUGCUAUGAAAAUUAGACUGAAUGAGGGCCCAAUUGCUCUGAAUCACCACAUGAAGCCAAAAAUGAGUUGAAUCAGUAUUAAAUCAGUCCAACCACUAGGUGAGUAAGCUCAACCAAUUCAAAAGCUGCACUUUAUUCCCUUUUUUCUUUUCCAAAACUCACCUAACAGUCCAAGUCACUCACCCUCCUCACAUAGUUUUUAUUUUUUAUUUUUUUGUUAAUGUUUGGAUAUGGGAAUAAAGAAAAAAUACAAGACAUGCAAGCAAGGGAAAGGAAAAGUAAUGGGAGGGAUAAAAGAUUCAUAAUAAUGAUAAGGGUCUAGGUAUGGUACAAAUAACACCUUUUUAGUAGCAAUUUGUGGGUGUUACAUGUGCACUGGUUCAUUGCUUUGUUCUUAGCAUCUCAUUAUUUUGUAUUGUGUCCACCCAAGUUGGAUCAAUCUAUGCAUCACUUUCCUCCUCAAGAUCAAAAAACCAAAAAACAAAAAAAGGAUAGGUCGGUUAGGCAAACCUUUCUUCAACAAUCAAAUUAACCAUCAAGUUAAGUGAAAAAGACAUAAGAUGAAAUUGUUUUUGUAUCUUAUUUUGGAAGUGAGACUUCCUUUUAUAGAUUUAUUUUGGUGUAUUAAUUAUGAGAAGUUAAUAAAUGAAGCAUCAAUUCUAUAUUGUACCUUAAAUGAUUUACAUUAUGAGUAUCUUAAAGGCUCUAAUCAUUGUGCAAUAAUUAUGGAAUGACAUUCAAGAUUUUGGUCAUUAUGUGAUUAAUUUGUGAAUCAUUGUCAUUACAUAAUUAAUGUAUAGGUUAUCCUUUAUACAAGGUCGUGUUUUGCAAUAGUGAUCAUAUUUUGAGUGGGAGUCAUUCCUAAAUGUGAUCAAUGCUUUUUGUGAUGUGAUGAUGAUAAUGAUCUAUUAUUGUAGUGAGGUGGGUCUCAUGGGGCCUCAUGACAAGCAUUAUAUGGAGGUAGCACAUUGCUUUUUUUAACUCUGCUAUAUGACAAAGGAUUUUCAUUUCCCUACACUUCCUAUUUUACACGUGAACUAAUUAUUUUAUAUUUUAGUUCCAUUAUUGUGUAGUUUAGUCUUAUUACAUGCAUUACAUUUUAAUCUCAUUGAUCUAUAUAAUGGUUCCAUGUGUUUGUAACAUGGUUCUUUAUACUUUCAUUUAGUGACUCAAAUUUUAUUAUAUACUUAAAUCAUUAGGAUUAAAAUUUCAAUAUCAUAUCAAAUAUAAACCCAAUAUAUUCUUUUUUAUAAUAAUAAAUUUAUUGAAGAAAGGUAUGACUGAAUAUUAGAGAUUGUGGCUCUCAAGUUAACACUAAAAAAACUACGCACAUAGAAGAUUUUGUUGUUAAAAAACUUGAGGAGAAUUAUUUCCAACUAGUGACAUGUGUUAGGUAUAAAGUUGUCUUUAAUAAGAUUGAUAACUACAUUACUUAAAUAUAAAACCUUAUUGGUAAUAAUAGUAAAGGAUUGAUUAUGACACCAAAUACUACUUUUUUCGUAUCAUAUCAAAAAGUUGUCAUCAACUAAGGGUAUCAAAUGCAUGCAUGUUGAUCCUAUUACUUGUUUUAUACCAUAUAUGCGAUCUCAUUGAUCCAUACCUUUAUUCAAUUAUUUUGUACCAUGUGAUAGCUCGUUCCCUUGCUUUUGUUAUGUAUUACAUGGGACUUUGGUUCCAUUAUUUUGUAUUCAAGUGUUUUAUUAUUUUAUAAUUUAUAUAUAAUUUUAUUGUUUUCUACCUUAGUUUCACUGUUAUUAACUGUGAAUGACAAUUUCAAUCAAAAGUUUUCUAUGAUAUGGGAUGUAUAUUAUAUAUUAAAUUUAUCAUAGAAGGGAGAUAAUUGCUCCCCAUCUAAUGCUUGUCAGAAAAUUAGAGAUUUUUUUUCUAGAAUUGGGUCAAAAAGUUAUGUGUGACAUUUAAAUUUGCCUGCUUAUAUGAUGGAGAUAAGAACAUUUGGAAUUAGAGAAUUAGUGGAUGUUCAAUUAGUGGAAUUAAUUUAGAUAAUAUUGAAUGGAUGUCUUACAAAGUGGACUAAAUUUUAUCAAUUUGAUUGAUUCGAAAAAUUCAUAUGUUUAACAGAAUUAAUAUUUGUGACUAAUUAUAUCAAUUUCGACAUGAAAAGACAUUAUGAGAAUAAUUCCUUUUUCUAUUAAAAAUUGUCCGCUCCAUACGAAAAGACAAACUUGACAUGAAAAGAAAUAAUUUCAUAAAUAUUGAAUUAUAUUAUUUGUUAAGGAGGAUUGAAUAUUCUAUAUUCUAUUAGAGAUAUGAAUAUUCCCAGGAAAAAGAAACAAAAAAAGACAAAAAUUUGGAUGGAAAAGUCCAUGCAUUAGUAUUAACACAAUGACAGACGCCCACAGCCUAAGACUUCAACAUUAGAAAUAUGAAUAUUCUAUAUUCUAUUAGAGAUAUGAAUAUUCCCAGGAAAAAGAAACAAAAAAAGACAAAAAUUUGGAUGGAAUAGUCCAUGCCUUAGUAUUAACACAAUGACACACGCCCACAGCCUAAGACUUCAACGUUAGAGAUAUGAAUAUUCUAUAUUCUAUGUCGGCCAUGACAUCACCUCCAUUCUUCUUCUCCAAGCCAAAACCACAUGGUGAAGAUCUAUAUAUCUAUCUGAAUCAUCCGGUGUUUAAUUCCACUGAAAAUAAGAAAAUUUCUUAGAGUUCUCUCUGUUAGCCGUAGUAUUAGCUAGUGAUGAUGAAGAAAAUAGAGCUUAUUUUUGUCUCUGUCUCAGCUAUAGGACAUAUUGUAUCAACUGUGGAGUUUGCUAAGCUUCUUGUUGGUAGAGAUGACCGCUUCUCAGUCACUCUGCUCAUCAUGAAGCUACCUCUUGAGGACUCUGCGGCAACCAACUAUAUCCAUUCAGUUUCUGCUUCUGUUUCCGGGUCCAUUCGAUUUGUCCACCUUCCUGAACUCGACUCAGAUUCAUCAUCGUCAUCCACUAAUGUCUUAUUCUCUAAUAUCAUUGAAAGGCAGAAGCCUCUGGUGAGGGAUGCAAUCCACCAGCUCACUCGGUCUGAGUCGGGUCGACUCGCUGGGAUUGUGGUCGAUUUGCUUUGCACUUCCAUGAUAGAUGUAGCUAAUGAAUUGGGUGUUCCUUCCUAUGUGUACUUCGCCUCCAGUGCGGCCUGCCUUGCUCUCAUGUUUCAUCUUCAAACCCUCAAGGACCACCAGGGCGUGGAUGUUACUGAGUUUGCUAACUCGGAUGCUGAGUUGGUGGUCCCGGGUUUUGUCAACCCGGUUCCUGCUCGAGUCUUGCCUGCUGUGGCGGUGGACAAGGAGGGUGGCGGAUCCAUGGAUUUCCUCGACCUGGCAAGGGGCUUUAGAGAGGCCAAGGGUAUUUUGGUAAAUACGUUUGUGGAGCUAGAAUCUCAUGUGAUUAACUCCUUUGUCGAUGGUACAACUCCUCCCAUUUACAAAGUAGGGCCAUUAUUGAACUUACAACAUGCCAACAACCAAAAACCAGAUAGUGACUUGGACGUCAUCCGAUGGCUUGAUGAUCAGCCCACAUCAUCUGUGGUGUUUUUAUGUUUUGGUAGCGCUGGAGCAUUCCACAUGGAUCAAAUCAACGAGAUUGCAAUUGGGCUCGAGAAUAGUGGGCAUCGUUUCUUGUGGACACUCCGACGACCUCCACCAAAAGAUAAGAUGGCAAUAUCUAGUGAUUAUGUAAAUUUCGAGGAAGUAUUACCUGAAGGGUUCUUAGAUCGUACAUCUAAAAUUGGGAAGAUAAUUGGAUGGGCACCACAAACGGCUAUUUUAGCUCACUCUGCAGUAGGAGGGUUUAUAUCUCAUUGUGGGUGGAAUUCUACAUUAGAAAGCAUAUGGUAUGGUGUCCCAGUAGCCACAUGGCCUAUGUAUGCAGAACAACAAUUGAAUGCGUUUCAAAUAGUUAGAGAGUUAGAAAUGGGGGUAGAGAUUAGAUUUGAUUAUAACAUGGAUACUAGUAAUCUUGUAAGUGCUCAAGAAAUUGAGAGUAGAAUAAGAAGUCUAAUGGAUGAUAGCAGCAACAUUAGAAUGAAAAGGACAAAAAUGAAAGAGAAGUGCAUGAAGGCCUUGACAGAAGGUGGAUCUUCAGACUGUAGCAUACAACGUCUAAUUGGAGACAUCAUAACUAAUAUCUCAUGAAGCGCAAAUUAUAGCAAUGUAUUAUCAAAAAAAGGUUCUAAGUCCUUAAAAAUGUUUGUUUCAAUUGCUUUUAAUAAUGUAAUGGUUGAGUGUCAUAGAAAAAUUGAUUAAAAAAUUAAGUUGGAAAAAAUGUAUUGUCUACUUAUUUUAAAUAAAAAUAAAAAUGGCAUAUGUUACAUCUUGUGUGACAUCUUUAUUUUAAUAUUAGAUGAUGUAUCAAAUCCAAAUUGUAUGGGAAUAUAAAAGGGUUUUAGGCUUUCUCAUCUUAUAUGUCUUGUUCUUGUAAGCCCUCAUACGAAAUGAUCACAUCCCAUUGCCAUUUCCAUUCAAUUUGGUGUUUAAUUUUGUUGUUAUUAAUUGUAAGAGGUUAGUUUUACAAAUCUUCCUCAUAUUUGAUUAUAAAUAUUUGAAUUUUCAAUACCUAACCUUGUCUCAUGUUAUUUGGGAGUGGUUAUUAAAGGAUUAAAGUAACUUUGUCAAAGUUGUGGUUGUGAAAUGAUAAAAUUUUGGUUUUAGUAAUAUAAUUUUUUAGACUUAGGUAUUUGGUAAAUUAACUUAAUAAGUUAAAAUAACUUGAUAACUUAAUUUAAGUUAUUAAGUAAAUUAAGUAUGUUUGGUAAAAUAAAGAUUUAAAGUAAAAAACAACUUUAAGCAAUAAGGAAAAUAAUUAACUUAUUUUUAAGUAUCCUCAUUUGACAUUUUUAUCCCCAUUUACAUUAAUUAUCUCCACAAUCUCUUUUGCUACUUCACGAUCUUCAUUGUUACUCGACCUCAUUUUCCCUAAUUAUAAUUUAUGAGAAUAAAUAUAUUAAUUUAAUUAUUUGAAAUAAAUUUUACAACCUUAAUACUUAAAGUAAUAAUUAAGUAAUAAAUUUUAAAUCAACAACAUAAGUAUAAUUUAACUUAAAGUCAACUUAAGCGACUAAGUAAUAAGUAUUAAGUUUUACCAAACAUUCCCUUAGGUGGUGUUUGUAUUUUUUUUUUACUUAGUUAUAAAUAGAAUUUAAAACUAAAUAGCGUUUAAUAAUGUUAAGUAUUAAGUUAUUUGUUUUUAUAAUAUUUUAUUUCUAUUAAGUAUAUAAAAAUAAAGAAAAAUCAAUAUAUUAUUUUUUCUAUAAAAAAUUAAAGAUUUUGAUUAUUUUUUACUCAACAAAAAAUUUAUAAUAAGUUAUAAAAAAUAGAAAAAUAACUCUCUUAGUUUAUAUUAAUUUCUUCUUUAACUUAAAUGAUUUUAAUUUUUUUGUAGUUUUUUUAGUGACUUUUUUAAAAAAGACACAAAAAUGGACUUUUUUGUGCUUAAGCUUUUCAAAUUAAUAUAUAUUUUUAUUAUUUUGUAUUUCAUAUUAAUAUAAUUAAAAAUAAAAAAAUUGUUAAAAUAUCCAAUGUGUAUAAAAGGAAAUGAAUCAUGGGUAGAAACAAAUGGAAUCAUGCUAAAUUAUAAAUAAAUAAGAUAUUUUUGUUAUAUUGUAUUUUUUUAUUUUAUUGAUCACCAUUUUUUUAAAUGAGAUCGUGAACUACAUUUUAGUAUCAUAGAAUGGCCCAAAAAGAAUAUGACACAUGGCAUAAUAAAUAGACAAAUGCAUUACAUGUGAGGCUGGUCCCAAAGGUGAUGGGGGUUGGAGAGAAUAGGAGUUGCACGUGGCACCCAAAUACCAUAUUCCCAAAAUCAGAAAAUAAAUUCGCGAAUUGAGGGAAACCCUAGGAGAGAGAGGAGAAAGGAGAGAAUGGGGAAGAAGAAGAAGAGAGCAGCUAAGGUGUUCUGCUACUACUAUGAGAGGGAGUUCGAGGAUGAGAAGAUUCUUCUUCAGCACCAGAAGGCCAAGCACUUCAAGUGCCAUGUUUGCAACAAGAAGCUCUCCACUGCCUUUAGCAUGGCCAUCCACAUCCUCCAGGUCCACAAGGAGACCGUCUCCAAGUACUAUUGCUUGUCAUUUGCAUUUUUUUUUUAAGACAAUUUCCAUUCAUGUGUUGGAUUGUUGGAAUUUAUAUAGGUGAAUUGAAAUUAAGAUUUUUUUUUUCUCAUAAGACAUGUUGUUUCUUAAUAGACAUAACUUGUUUUAAAUGAUGUAUUUUGUAUUUAAAAGACACAUCCUCUUCCAAAUGAUUUGUUUAAUGUCUUCAGAGACAACUAUAAACCCUCUAAUUUGUUCUCUUAGCACAUGUGACACUAGGUGUCUUCUCAUACUUCUCUUUUGACUCAUAGUCAUCCCUUAGUGGCCCAUCGACAAUUAUAUAGUUUCAUUUUCUAAGCCACCUUUAGGAACUCUUUGCUAAGGGACUCAUUUAGACCCACAUUGUGACCUUGGCCACCCUUCAUCCUUAGGUUAGAUCCUACUUAGGUUCACCUAGGCCCUCUUAGAUUUACUAAAGCCCACCUUGACACACCUUGACCCAUUUUGGUCACUUUUCGGUAAUUCCUGCAUGACUUACAUAAUUUGCAUGAUUUGCAUUUUUAACGCUCGCAUAUACUUGAUUUUCUUAUUUAUUAAUUUUUCUAUUUAUUUAUUUCUAUUUAGUAUUAUUGGUGUAGGGAUUUGUUUAUCUUUCUUUAUUUAGUUACCUAUUUUCAGAAAAUUGCAUGUGGUUGGUUAUCUUGUCUCUUUUAUUAUUAUUAUUAUUAUUACUAUUAUUAAAUUUGCAUGAAUUAAUACUUUAGUUUUCUCUUUUAUUUAUAUAUAUAUAUAUAUAUAUAUAUAUAUAGAUAGAUAUUCUUUGACAUGAAAAUCACGGGUCGCAUAUUGACAUAGUGAAGGAGGUCACAACAUAUUGAAAAUUUUUGGAGGAUCAUGAGGACUUUGUUUUUUUUUGGAAAGUUACCACCUUGAGAAGAUGAAGGGAAUGAGACCGCACCAUGGGAACUUGGGUUGCACCAUGGGAAAUCAAGUUACUCUAGGAAGAGUGUAAAUGUGAAGUUGUGUUAGACUUAAGUCUUUUAUUUUUUGUCAACUCCUUGGGAAGAGUCUCAUUAGGAGUGUGCUAGUAGAGUCCCAUUCCGCUGACAAGUAGAGUCUCGUUCUGCUUAUAAGUAGAGUCCUAUUCUGAUUACAAGUAGAGUCAUGUUCUGAUUAUAAGUAGAGUCACCCCUGACUGUCAAAUAAUUUUUUUUUUAAAGAGUUCUUCUAAACCUUCCAAUGUUUUGCUUUCCUCUCCAUUCUUUCAUACAUCUAUCUGGAGGAAUUUUUUAGAACCCAAGUUGUACACGUCUUGCCUAUAAAGUGCACCCAAAGCGAGAUUCAUUGGUACCCUAGUGCACCAAGUUCGUUUUGGAGAAGGGUGGAUCUAUUUCAAAGACAAUGCUUGUUACCCCUCAACCUAUCACCGAUAAGUUUCUUGUUAUUCAUUCCACUCUUUGUUUGUGUGUUUUGGGCUAGUCCUCUGUUUUCAUACCCUUAAAACAACAAUCUUGAAAUAGAUCCAAAUGGAAGCUUCCCUAGUUCACACCUGUCCUAACACCUCUAAGAUUGAUCCCUUCAAUAUGACAUUCUUUGAGAGAUGGCAGGAAAUAGUUUUCUCUGUAAUUGAUGUAGUGAACUUGGGACACAUUUUAACUAACCUAAAACCAGAAAAUGGUUCUGAAUUGUUGCCUACUUAGGAAAUUGAUAAUAAACAAGUUAGACAUGAUAUUCUUAGUACCCUUUCUAAUGAAAUUUUUGAUGUUUAUUGUCAGUAUAAAGUUGCAAAAGAAAUUUGGGAUGCAAUGAAUAAAAAAUAUAUUUUGGAAGAUGUAAGAACUCAUAAAUAUGCAAUAGGGAAUUUAACAAAUUUCCAAAUGACCAAGGAUAUCAACGUAUCAUCUCAAAUCCAUUACUACCAUUUGUUGAUUAAUGACUUAGCUAUUAAAGAAAUUAAAUUACCUGAACCUUUUGUGGUUAGUUACUUAGUAGAGACUCUUCCAGAGUCUUGGAAAGACUGAAAAAAUAACAUGAAAUAUCAAAGGAAACAAAUGUCCCUAGAAGAUAUCAUAAUCCAUAUUAGGAUUGAGGAAGAAAAUCGAAAUAUGGACAAUGUUGAGAAAGCUAAGGAACUGUCUUCUAAGGCUAAUGUAGUAGAAGAAAAACCUAAACCCAAAAACAAUAAGUCCAGAAAGCAAAACAUUAGGACCAAGCCUAAUGUAUCAAACAAGGUUUAGAACCUAACUAUUAAAAAAUAGUGUAAUUGCUUUGUCUGUGGCAAGUCUGGACACCAUGCAACUCAAUGCCACCAUAGGAAGAGAACUGAGAAGUCUAAUUCAAAGGAAAAUCUGGCAAAGACAGAGGUGAUCACAACAAUAGCCUUCUCUGAUGUGAGCAUUAUCUUUAAUAUGAAGGAUUGAGUGGUAGACUCUAGGGCUACCAAGCACAUCUAUGGAAACAUAAGUGCAUUUGCUUCCUAUACCACUAUAAAGAAAGAAGAGGAACAAGUGUUCAUGGGCAAUUCUAGAUCUACCCUAGUGAUUGGCAAAGGAAAAGUUCUUCUCAAGCUAACCUCUGGAAAAGUGCUCGCCGCCCAUAGUGAUGUUCUUCAUGUGCCAAAUAUCCGCUGGAACUUGGUGUUAGUAUCUUUGUUUGGGAAAGCAAGAGUGAGGAUCUUGUUUGACUCCGAUAAAAUAGUUUUAACCAAGAAUGAUGCAUUUGUGGGGAAGGGCUAUUGUAAUCACAGUUUAUUUAUGUUGAAUAUUUUUAUAUUAUCAAUAAUAAUGCAUCUUCUUCUUCUGCUUACAUAGUUGAUUCGUGUGAUAUUUGGCAUGGUAGAUUAGGACAUGUGAACUUUUCAUAUACGAAGAAAAUUGUUGAAUUGAGUUUAAUCCCUAAGUUGUCCUUAGAAAAUCUUAGAAAAUGUUAAUCAUCUGUAGAAUCUAAAACCACAAAGAAAUCUUGCAAAUCAGUAGAAAGAGAAUCAGAUUUACUAAGUUUAAUACACAGUGACUUAGGAGACCUAAAAAAUACAAUGACUAGAGGUGGUAAACGAUUCUACAUAACUUUCAUAGAUGACUACUCAAGGUAUACAAGGGUAUAUCUUUUGAGAAACAAAGAUGAAGUAAGAGAUGUUUUCAUCAAGUACAAAAAUGAAGUGGAAAAUCAACUAAGUAAGAAGAUUAAAAAGCUUAGAACUGAUAAAGGAAGAGAGUAUGAGUCCAACCCCUUUAAUUAUUUUUGUGAAGAUCAUGGGAUCAUUCAUGAAACUACUACUCCUUAUUCUCCUUACUCUAAUGGAGUAGCAGAAAGAAAAAAUAGGACCUUAAAAGAAAUGAUAAACGCAAUGUUGGUAAGUUCAGGAGCACCCUUGAACUUGUGGGGGGAAGUUAUCAUUUCCUCUUGUCAUAUUCAAAAUAGAAUACCUUACAAGAGAACUGGUAAAACUCCUUAUGAGUUGUGGAAGGGUUAUGCACCUAAUAUAACAUACCUGAAAGUGUAGGGUGAUUAGCUAAAGUUCUUUUCCCUAAACCUAAUGUUCGUUGGCUAUGCUGAGAAUAGUGUGACAUAUAGGUUUCUUGUUACUAAGUCAGAAAACAGUCUUAUGGAUGUCAAUACCAUAAUAGAAACAAAGAAUGAGGAUUUCUUUGAAAACAUAUUUCCUAUGAAACUAAAUGGUGAACAACAAGUUCAGAAAACAAGUAGAGAUGAGUCUAUUGAACCUUCUAAGUUUGAACCUAGAAGGAGUAAAAGAGAUAAGAAAGAAACAAACCUUAGAGAUGGCUUUUAUGCCUUCCUAAUAGAUGAAGACCCAAGAUCCUACAAAGAAGCUAUAACUUCUCCUGAUGCACCAUUCUGGAAAGAGGUCAUUAACAGUGAAAUCGAAUCAAUCAUGUAUAACCAUAAAUGAGAGUUAGCAAAUUUACCUCCUGGUGCAAAGACUAUUUAUUGUAAGUGGAUAUUUAAAAGAAGGUUAAAAUAAGAUGAGUCUGUAGAGAAGUAUAAAGCUCGUUUAGUUUCCAAAGGCUUUAAACAAAGGAAUGAUGUAGAUUACUUUGACAUAUUUUCCCUUGUGACUAGAAUAGCGUCAAUUAGAGUAUUGAUCGCUCUAUCUUCCAUUCAUAACCUGGUGAUACACCAAAUGGACGUCAAAAUUGCAUUCUUGAAUGGGGAUUUGGAAGAGCAAAUUUAUAUGGAACAACUUGAGGGUUGUGUAGUUCUAGGGAAGAAGAAAAAUGUGUGUAGGUUGGUUAAAUCACUAUAUAGGUUAAAACAAGUUCCCAAACAAUGGCACAUCAAGUUUGAUCAUGUGUUAGUAACUAAUAGAUAUUCCAUUCAUGAUGUUGAUAAAUGUAUCUACAACAAGUAUGAGGAUAACACAUGUGUAGUCAUUUGCCUUUAUGUUGAUGACAUGCUGAUUUUUGGAACUAGCCUAGAGGUUGUGUGUAAGACCAAAAAAUUCCUAGGUUCUGAGUUUGAUAUGAAAGACCUAGGAAAGGUAGAGGUGAUUCUAGGAAUUAAAAUAACUAGAACACAUAAUGGGCUUAAGCUUUCUCAAGAGCACUAUGCUGAGAAGAUCCUAAAGAAGUUUGAACACUUUGAUUGUAAACCAGUGUCAACUCCUUAUGAUCUCAGCUCACAACUGAAGAAAAAUAAAGAACAAAAUGUUGCCCAAAUCGAGUAUGCUCAAAUCAUAGGAACCCUAAUGUACUUAAUGAACUAUACCAUACUUGACAUUGCUUAUGUAGUAGGUAGAUUAAGUCGGUACACCUAAAGUCCUAAUCAGGACCAUUGGACCAUUGUUCGUAGAGUCCUUAAGUAUUUGAGAGGCACCAUUAACUAUGGUUUGUGCUAUAGUGGAUAUCCAAGUGUCCUUGAAGGAUUUAGUGAUGUAAAUUGGAUCUUAGAGUCAGAUGAGAUGAAAUCCACUAGUGGAUAUGUUUUCAUCCUUGGUAGAAGUGUAGUUUCUUGAAAGUUUGCCAAGCAAACUUGCAUUACUCAGUCUACUAUGGAAGCUAAGUUUAUUACCUUAGAAAAGACAAGUUCUGAGGUUGAGUGGCUUAGAAACCUCUUAGUAGAUCCCGUCUGUGUCUAUGCGUUGUGAUAGCCAAGUUGUAAUUGCUAAGGCUAAGAGUAAAAUAUUUAAUGGAAAGAACAAACAUAUAUGCCUAAGGCACAAUAUUGUGCGACUGCUGCUUGAAAUAGGGGUUAUAUCUCUAGAAUUUGUGAGGUCAAAGUUGAAUUUGCUCGAUCCUUUGACCAAACCACUAAAUAAGAAACUAAUGGAAGAAACAUCGAGGGGGAUGGGGCUUAUGCCUAUUACAAAAGUCAACAGUGGUGGUAACCUAACCUAUUAGAAUGGAAAAUUCUAUGAAGUUGGUUCAUAUGGGUAAUAACAAAUCGCUUGUCAACUUGAGGUGCUCUAUCAACUUUAAUUGUAUGAGAGUCUAUCCCUAUGGUGUGGAUAGAGCAUAUUCUGCAUUGACUAAGGUUGAGUGUUUACUCUUAAUGAAUGCCACAUUCCUUAUGAAUGGUAUGUUUAAAUGCAUAAUAUACUUGAUGGAUUCAACUAUAUGAGAGUAGAGAUGAGACCACUUCCUAUAAAAACUUAAGCAGGUUCUCUAGAGCUCUCAUAAAUAUCCAGGCAGAGUACAUGGCCUAUUUGUGUCAACCCGUUAUGUACAACUCAUAAUGUAAUUAAGAAAACCAAUGUGGAUAAAGGUCUCUUAAGUUACAUCAAGAAACACUGGUUCAUAGAAAUUCAUUUUUCACCGUAUUUUGUGAUUCAAUACUUAUUUGUCCUAAGAUUGGUUCAUAGCCUUUGGGUACCAAUACUGAUGCAUUUGAUUUUUUUUUCUCCAUUUUUUCCUUCCUUCACAUCUACUCUCUAUGAGGGAUUGCAGAAAGAGUGUAAAUGUGAAGUUGUGUUUGACUUAGUCUUUUAUUUUUUAAUGACUCUUUGGGAAGAUUCCCAUUAGGAGUGUGCUAGUAGAGUCUCGUUCCGCUUACAUGUAGAGUCUUGUUCUGUUUAAACUAGAGUCAUGUUCUAAUUACAAGUAGAGUCAUAUUUUUAUUACAAGUAGAGUCCUGUUGGGACUGUGUUAGUGGCCUAUAAAAGCAGGUCACUCCUCACUCUCAAAUAUAUUUUUUUUUUCAGAGAGUUCUUCUAAAUCUUCCAACAUUUGGCUUUCCUCUCCACUCUUUCAUACAUCUAUCUGGAGGAAUUUUUUAGAACACGAAUUGUACACAUCUCGCCUGUAGAGUGCACCCAAGGUGAGAUUCACUGGUUGAUGAAUCCUAGAGGUAGAUCACUGGUACCCUAGUGCACCAAGUUUAUCUUCAAGGAAGGUGAAUCGAUUUCAAGAACACUGUUUGUCACACCUCAACCGAUCAUCGAUAAGUUUCGUGUUAUUCAUUCUAUUCUUUGUUUGUGUGUUUUGGGCUAUUCAUUUGUUUUCAUACCCUUAAAACAAUAGUUACUUCAUGGGAAAGAGAACAUUGGAAGAUAAGAAGAUUUUUGGAGGAAUAUGACAAUUGUAUUCUCUAGGGAGCCACAACAUCAAUAUGAGAAGAGUAAGUCUUCAUUGAAAAAAAAAAAAAGACAAAUUUAAGGAAAAUGAUCAACAGGGACUGCAAAUUUGAUUUUGAGGGUCUCCUUACAAUAGACCGAACCAUCUAACAACCCUUUUCUUCAUAAGAGGACAUCACUUUAUGACCAUACUAAAUCCAACAUUGCCAUUUGGACCGUAAGGAUGCUUGCUUGCUAUUUGCACCAGAGAAGGAUGAAUGAAGUUGUAUCGUGCACCAUUUUGUGAGUUGCAAACCACAUUCUGGUAAGUUAAGAGGAAAUAAUCCACAUCAAAUUUUGGAAGCCAUGACAUCUGGGAGGUUAUUGAUACUUGAGAGGAAAAUUUUCAACUUUUUGACUUCUUUGAUCAUUUAAUCCAACUGAAAGUAAAAAAAAUCAAGGAUCAUUGACGAAUGAGGUUGUGAUAUGGUGCCUAAUUUCUAGUACAAUAGCCUUAAUUUUGAGUUAUAUAUCAUAUUCGAUCAUCAAAGGCAGGAGUAAUAGAUGACGGGGGUUCAGAUUCUUCCAUCCAUAUACCAAUGAUGGCGUUGAUGGUGAGAGGGUCUUGUGGCACACCGUCAAAGCCAUCCAAAAAGAUUGCCUCAUCUACACCGAUGACCAUGAUGCUUCUUCUAAUAGCUUGAUGGCUCGUGUCGUUCGACAUUUUGGUGGAGUUUUCAAGGUGAGGGUUGAGAAGCAGGUUUGAGCGUGUUGAGAAAGAGAUUCAAAGCCUUGGGAGGAUUUUUUAGAAAAGAGAUCGCACACAAAGGGUUGUCCACUUUCCAUUUGAGAGAACGAUAAUCAGAAUUUUUAAGGAACAACAAUCAGAAUUUCUAGAGUGGUGGAUGUUAAGAAUUUUUUUUUUUUUUUUUUAUGGGAUAACGAUCAGAAUUUUUCCGAGAACAACAAUCAGAAUUUUUGGAGAGGAAGAUGCAACAAAGAAACCAUCAUCUUAAUGCGCACCACCAGAAUUGUAGAACCAACUCACCAUCGAUAACUGUUCUCCAUCUUCAUGCACAGGUUGAUCAUUCGACCAAUGGGACGCACUCUCUACGGGGAAAACCAAUAGAACCAGACAUCAUCUUCACAUGAAAGAAGGUUUCCACAUUGAGGGGCUGCCACUUUGAAACCAUUGUCGGCAUCUCUCCAUCACAAAGGAGCUUCGGCAUGCAUCGCUUCACAGGAACACCCAUAGGUGAGUUUUUUUUAUUUUUUUUGGGAAACUUUGGUAUUUGAAUCCAUGAGUGCUAUACAUGUAGUGGAAGAUUGAGGAUUUUUUUUUUUUUUUAAAUAUAAUAUAGAGUCAUGAGUGUUUGAACGCUAGUGGCUUGGCUUUUUUUAGGGAAAAAAAAUUGAUGUAUAUACACGUGGUCCGCCAUGUGAUGUUUCAAGUAUGUUAAUAGUUUGUUUCAUUGAAUUAAAAAUUAAAGUGAAUGUGGUGGGUCAUGUUGUUAUUGGUUUACAUUGUUAUAAAUUUACAAUGAAACAAAUGAAAACUAAUAUCCAUAAAAAUUCAUUCAUUUAUUUAUUUAUUUAUUCAUUUUCAUAAAGUUAUUUGUUGCAAAUUUUGAAUAUCCAUGUUAGUUUAUACUUUUCAUAAAACCAUUUGUUGUUAAUUUUAAAUAUAUAUAUUAAUUUAUAUUGCUCCUUGAACUUUUAGUUUGUAGUUUUGGUUGAUCCAUGUUAAUUUUUGUUAUCCUUAAAAUUAUCAAUUGUUAUUUUGGUUGAUCCAUGUUAAUUUUUUGUGGUCCUUUGAAUUUUUAGUUUUUAAUUUGAUGGUCUGUGUUAAUUUUUAUAUACCUUUGAGCUUUUAAUUGUUGAUUUUAAUAAACUAUGUUAGUAUAUAUUCCUUCUUGAAUUUUUAGUUUUUGGUUUUGGUUGAUCCAUGUUGAUUUAUAUUGCUCUUUGAAUUAUUAAUUAAUAUUUUGGUUGAUCCAUGUUGUUUAAUAGUUUUCUUUAAAUAUGAGGGUUUUAGUUUUUAUUUACCUCUUAUUAGUUUGUGAUUUAAAUAUCCUUAGAUGUUAGUUUUUAUUAUUUUCCAAUUAUUCAUUCUUAUUGAACCUAAAUUAGUUCAUGUUUUUAUUAUCUCUAGCAUUAGUUUGGUUGUUCCUCAUUAAUUUAGGUUUUUAAUAUCCCUAGUUGUUGACUUUUGUUAAUAUUUCAUGUUAGUAUAUGUUCUUAAUAAUUUUAGGCUUAGUUUCCUUGACCCUUGAUGAUAUUAAUUCAUGCUAGUUUAAAAUUGUUAUUAUCAUUGUUAUUAUUAUUAUUAUUUGUUAACCCAUAUAGAUUUUUUUGUUGUCCUUUGACCUUUUAAUCUUAGGUAUUGAUUAUCCAUGUCAUUUGAGUAUUAUUAGAUCAUUUUCAUGCUAUGAGAGUUCUCAUCUUUAAAAUUUUGGUAAUUCUAAGGUGUUAAAUCUUCUUAGUAUUAUUCAUGAUAAUUUUAUGUUAAAUAAUUUUUCUUGAAUGACAGUAAAUUAGUUUCAGAUUUUUCAUUAUUUGUUUAAUAUUAGUUAGUUUCAUGUUAUUUAGAUUAUUUUCAUGCCAUUAAAAGUAUUAUCCCUUAUAGUUUAUUAAUUCUUAGGUUUUAAUCUUCUUGUUUUAGCUUCAUAUCAUUAUAUUAUUUCCCAUGCUAUUAAAAGUUUUGUAAUGCAAGUUCGAUAAUUUUAAUAUUUGAUCUUCAUGUUUUUAGUUUCAUGUCAUUCAAUAAUUUUUCAUGAUAUUGAAAGUUCUUCUUUGGAAAUUUAGUAGUUCUUAAGUUUUAGAUCUUCUUGUUAUUAUUCAUGUAUUUUGAUCCUGUUAUCAUAUUAAAAGUUGUCUUUUUUGGAAACUCGGUAGUCUUAGGAUUUAGAUCCUAAAUCCUCCAAUUAUUAUUCAUGCAAUUUGUUUGUGUUAUGAACUAAAAAAUUUAUCUUGAAAGGUUUAGAAGUUCUUAGGACUUAGCCUCAUUCUUAUUUUAGAUUCAUGUUAUUUUUUUAUAUUCAUGCUAUUUAGAAAUAUGGUUGCUCAUCUUUUAAAGCUCGUUUUUCUUCUAAGACGUAGUUUCUUGUUACCACUCAUGGGGUUUAAUUAUUUAUUUAUUUUGAAAGCAUAUUGGCUAGUUUGGGAUUCAGAUCUCCUUAUUAAAAUUCAUGUUUGAUCUUUUAUAUUUGAAAGCAUGUUAUUUGUUUGCAAUUCAGCUAAAAUUCAUGAUAUUAGUUGUUUAUUUUUCAAAGAUUGAUUUUUAGAAAGAGAUUUUUAGAAAUUGACAUUUUGAAUUAAGUCAAAAUCUCUUCUUUUCUUUCAAAAAAUGAAUUUUUCUCCAUAAAUGAUGUGGCUCCUUGAUCCCAAAUGAAAGGUAGCCAAUAAGGCGAUCCAUGUUGAUAAUUCUUUUGUUUUCAAAUCCCUUUUAAAUUAGAAAUAAAAUAAAAUAAAAUAAAAUAAAAUAACUCCAUUUUGUGUCCAAUGUUUUGGAUUUAUCAAAUCACAUGGUUUGAUCUUUUGCUUUCCUAAAAUCAUUCUCAAAGGAAUUUAAAUAUUAAAAAAAAAAAUCCAUUCCCGGUUUUUAAGGCCAAUAUCUCACUUUGUUUUAAAGAAAAAAAAAUAUAUAUGUAACUUAGUUUUAUCCAAAUUGCAUUCCUUUUUCUUAGUUUUCUAAAACUUUAUUUUCUUAACAUAGAUUUGAACUUGUGUUCCCAAGCUAAUAGGAAUACACAGGUGAAUCUUAUGAAUAUUAAUUGGGGAUUUGAUGGGACCCCAACAUAAAAGAAUCUUUUCAAAACUUAUUUUUGUUGCCACUUUUGCUACUUGUUAUAAUCAUAACCAUCAAUUUUUUAGGAAAAUUAUGCAAGAUGUAUGUGAUAAUUGAUGACUUUGAAUACUCUGAUAAUUUUUGCUACGCUAUUUAGAUACCAAGCAUGCUAGGAUUUCUUUUUUUUAUUAUUUAUUACUAUAAUUUUGAUCUAACCUUCCAUGUCUUGUGAAAACACACUAUAAGUUAUCUAUGUUAUUUAGGUACUCAUCUUACCUUCACAUUUUAAUUUCAUAAAUUGUGUAUUACUUUAUAUAUGAUCAUUACCUAUUGCUUCGUAUGUGAUUGUCAUGUUUAGCAUAUCUUUUUUUAUUGUUUGUUUGACUUGUCAUGUUUGAUUAAGAGACUAAGGUAAAACGCAUGAUAUGUGUUUUAUUUUCUAAACCGACCAUUGAUGUCAUGUGAUAGUGCUUAAGUUGCAGUUCAGGUAUGCAAUACAAUCAUUUCUUUAUGAUUGUGUUUUGAAUUCUUGUUUGGCUUGCUAGUGUUGAAAGAUUUUAAAAAUCACCUUAGUCCGUCUAAGUAUCCAUAAUCAACUAACUAAUUGUCAUAUUUCCAUCAACUUAGCUAGUAGAGAGACCUCUCUAUGGAUUAGAAGGGUGCUACCUCUUUGGAGGUAUUUUCUUGAUAGGUAACUUGAUCCCCGGAUCCAAACUCGAGUUUUUCGUAGACAGCUUUUCCAAAAGCUAGGAAUCAUUUUUAAGGGUUUUGUUCUUACUUGAUUUCCCCUUUUUAAAAUAAAUAAAUAAAAGUAAGUGGUAACUCCAGUUUUUUUUUUCUCUCGUAAAAUACAAUUUUUCCUUAAACAAAAGUGAGUCUUAUCAAUUGAGUGGGGAUGUAUUGUGAAAAAUGUGGGUCCACAACAACCCUUCAAAUGAUGUGUCUAGUAUUUUAAAGACAUCUCUUCUAAAGGUCACCUUCAAAUCUAUAAACAAACAUCUCUUCUGAAUUAAUAUUCAUCCAUUCUCUCCAUUCUUUCUCCUUUAUUGUCAUUCAAGUCUCCUUAGCUUCAAGUCUAGUCAUUUCUCUUCUUUUUUUUACCAAAUAUUUGGUGUACAAGUGAGUACAAAUCACCAAGUGAUUCACCAUUUUUUUUAGUGAUUUGAAGUGUUACUAUCACAAAAAAGUGAUCAUUGUAACCUAGGAGACAAUUGUCAAUAAACCAUAAGCACCUGAAUGGGGCAAAUUCAUCUUAAGGACAUAAAGUCAACUUUAGCCUUGAUCAACCUUAUUUGUGACUUUCAGUUUUCUACAUAUUUUAUUUUAUUUGUAUAUUUACUAUACACACUUAUUAUCCCUAUAUUUUCAGUGAUCUGGACUACAACUUUUAGUAGUAAAUCGAGAUUUCUUCUCCAAACAGGAUUUUAGGAGAAGAAAUUAUGUUUAUGGAAAAGUUUUUACUAUAGAAAAUUAAAUUUAAUGUAGUAGAUCUUGACUUAUCGUGUUUGAAAGCUAUGAUUAUUGAUUAAAAAAAAUUAAUGUUAUUUUUCUUUUAAUUACAAGUAUUUUUUAUAUAUAAAGUUAAUAUUUAAGUAUAAAACCUUUUAGAAAUGUCAACUCAACUCUAUUUAUGGAAUAAUUUUAAAUUUUCCUUUUAGCAAAAGUUGAAAUAAACGUAAAAUAACUACUUUUAUUAUAAGUUGAUUUUAUGUUUGGAAUAGAAUGCUUUUAUUCAAAAUAAAGAAUAAUUAAGAUAUUUUUAAAUUUUAGUUAAAUAAAACUUGUUGAAUACACCAAUAUUUUCUCUCGUUACACCCAUCUUAUUUUUAAUUUUUUUUUUAGUAAAAAUGUGAAUGUCUUUUUCUUCAUCAUCCUUUUGACACUCAUGUCUCAAAUCUUAAUUAGCUUUCUUAUUCACUUUUCUUCCCCUUUCCUUUAUUUUAUUUCAAUUUUCCUUUAACUAAAAUAGAAAAACAACUAGAAAAAUAAUAGUUGGUGUGCAACCAUGACUAUUGUCGGUAUAGAUAGAAAAGAAUUGGUGGAUUAAAUAACCACUAAAUUAAUCAUCAAAACUUUAACUUUAACUUUUUAACUCAAUAAAAUUUAGACUUGACAAACAAUGAGUCAUACACAUUGAACGAAUGUUAUGCAAUUCACAAAGCGAUAUAUGACCAAAUUUGAAAGGCUACAAAAUCAAAUCUUGUAAAAUAAAAAUAAAAUAAAAUUUUUAAAGUAAAAAAGAGAAUUAGAAAAAUAUAUUCUCUUGCUAGUAAAUUUCUGAAAUGAAAGAAACAAAUUGCUUAAUUAAAUCAAAAGCGAAUUGUAAAGAAAUAUUCUCUUGUUGAUAAAUUUUUUAAAUGAGGGUACACAAAUUGCUAAAUCAAUCAAUCAAUCAAUCAAAUUCCUUAAAUUGAGUAACCAACUACUGGGGAUUCCAAAUUUAAUUUCUUAACUUCACCUAUAAAUAAAAAUCACCUUCUUCAAUAUAGGAGAUUAAAAAAAUAAAUAAAUAAAUAAAUUUCAGAAGAAGCCAGAGAAAAAAGGAUUCUCAAGGAGAAAAAUGUUUCACAAUAUACCCCCUACAAGUCCAAGAAAAGCACAUGAAAAACUAUGUACAUACUUUUCACCAUUCUCAAAGUUCAAUAGUCAUUUAGAAAACAAGAUAUGCAAGACUCUCAAUUGAACUUUAAUUUCAAAGAAAUACUUACAUCGUCAUUCAUUAGAUUGUGAUUAAAACAAUCAAAUCAGAGGAAAAUUUUCUUUACAAAGAAUAUUAUAAUAGAAAAUUGUACCUCAUAAAUUUUUCUAAUUAGGAAAAUUUAGGUAGGUGUAUUUAACAACUCUUUAAAAAAAUAAAUUUUAUCCCUAAAAAAUUAAUAUACAUUUAUAGGAGCACUAAGUGACAAAAUUCGAAACUAAUGGAGAUUUAAUGCAAUGUUAUGAAGAUUAGACCGAACGAGGACCGGAUUGGUCUGGUUCACCACAUCAAGCCACAAAUGAGUUGAAUCGGCAUUAAAUCGGUCCAACCACUAGGUGAGUUAGCUCAACCAAUUCAAGAGCUACACUUUAUUCCCUUUUUUUCUUUUCCAAAACUCACCUAACCGUCCAACACAUAUAAGUCCAUAGUCAAUUUGCAUGAAUGACAAGUUUAUAUAGCCUACUUUUGCUUCAUGCUUUUUCGAUGUAGAAUCAAGUGAAUUUUUGUUUUUGGAGACUAAAUGUCAUGACCAUGGGAUUUGAACAAAACAUGGAACACCCAAGUUAUCCUUACAUGUUUGCAAAGAAAAACAUUCGAAAGCUAUAUAUACAUUAUUGAAAAUUUUAAAAUGAAUAUAAAUAUUUAUGAUUUAUCUAUAAUAAAUAUGGGAAUAAUAUAAAUAAAAAACUAAUAAUUUGAAGAUAAUAAAAUGUAUAGCUAUUGAAAUCCAAACAAAUUAAAAUAAUAAAAUCCUUUUAUCUUAAUAAAUUAAAGUUACUUAUUUAAUAAAAAAAAAACUAAUAAUUUAAUAAAUCAUUAAGUUAUCGUUAUCAUAUUUUGAGCUAUCAAUAUUAUCAAUAAUAAAAUGAUGAAAUGUGUUUAAAAUUUAAUUACUUAUACAUUUUCUUAUUUCAUAUAAUUGUUUUUAAUUUUAUUAAUAAUGCAAUUUAUAUAUUUAUGACAUCAUUGGUUUAAUAAUUUCAACCAUCGAUCUAAUCGAUGAAUUAUGAAUUCGAUAACUUUUAUAAUUUAAUGAUCAAUCCAAUUUUGAAAACAUUAUUUUAAUGUAUGUACACUAAACCUUAGGGAAUUUGAUUGAAAUUAACUCAUACAAACAAUUUUGUUUGUAUAUAUUUCUAGUUCUUUUACUUAUUUUUAUGGGAGAAUUAUCUUUUGGGGGUAGAUGGGCCCCCAAAUUAACAAAAGGUCCAUGUAACUCUUCAAAUUGAGUUGAAGGAUAUGAAAUAGUAACGGACAAAUAUACCCUUUAAGAACACAUAUAAAAUAUUUUAUAAAAUUAAGUUAAAUAAUUCUUUUUCAAUAAUUUUUUUUUUCAAAAAUACUAAAUUAAAUAAAAGUAGUUUUCAAAAAUAUUAAAUUAAUUUUUUUUUUCAAAAAUAUUAAAUAAAAUAAAUUUAUUUUUAAAAAAUAUUAAAUAAAAUAAAUUUAUUUUUAAAAAAUAUUAAAUUAAAUAAAAGUAUUUUAAAAAAUAUUAAAUUAAAUAAAAGUAUUUUAAAAAAUAUUAAAUUACAUAAAAGUAUUUUUUAAAAAUAUUAAAUUAAAUAAAAAAUAUUAAAUUAAAUAAAAGUAUUUUUCAAAAAUAUUAAUUUUUUUUCUCAAAAUCAACAAAUGAUAUUUUUUGAAAUACUGAAGGAUGAUAUCCUUCAACUCAAUUUCCAUACUUUCAUUGGGUCUUGGGCUCAAUUUAAAGAGUUAUAUGGACCUUUUGUUAAUUUAGGGGCCCAUCUACCCCCAAAACAUAAUUCUCCCAAUUUUUAUAGGACUUUCGAAAUUUGCACAUGUAAUUGCCAUUGAUAGCAUUUGGAUAUGCAUUCUAAUCUAUUGUUCAUGCAUGACUAAGCAAAUAACCUUCGCCACUGUAAACAACCAUGAUGUGAGUACCAACAAAGCCAAGUCACUCACCCUCUUCAUAUGGUUUUUAUUUUUUAUUUUAUUUUUUGUUAAUGUUUGGAUAUGGGAAUAAAGAAAAAAAGACAAGGCAUGCAAGCAAGGGAAAGGAAAAGUAAUGGGAGGGAUAUAAGAUUCAUAAUAAUGAUAAGGGCUUAGGUAUGGUACAAAUAACACCUUUUUAGUACCAAUUAGUGGGUGUCACAUGUGCACUGGUUCAUUGCUUUGUUCUUAGCAUCUCAUUAUUUUGUUUUGUAUCCUCCCAAGUUGGAUCAAACUAUGCAUCACUUUCCUCCUCAAGAUAAAAAAACCAAAAGAUAAAAAAGAAUAGGCCGGUUAGGUAAACCUUUCUUCAACAAUCAAGUUAUCCAUGAGGUUAAGUGAAAAAGACAUAAAAGAUGAAAUUGUUUUUGUUCCUUAUUUUGGAAGUGAGAAUUCCUUUUAUAGAUUUAUUUUGGUGUAUUAAUCAUGAAAAGUUAAUAAAUGGAAACAUCAAUUCUAUAUUGUUCCUUAAAUGAUUUCCAUUACGAGUAUCAUAAAGGCUCUAAUCAUUAUGCAAUAAUUAUGGAAUGACAUUUAAGGUUUUGGCCAUUAUGUGAUUAAUCUGUGAAUUGUUGUCAUUACAUAAUUAAUGUAUAGGUUAUCCUUUACACAAGGUCAUAAUUUGCAAUAGUGAUCAUAUUUUAUGAGUGGUAGUCAUUCCUGAAUGUGAUCAAUGCUUUUUGUGACGUGAUGAUGAUAAUGAUCUAUUUUUACGGUGAGGUGGGUCUCAUGGGGACUCUUGACAAGCAUUAUAUGGAGGUAGCACAUUGCUUUUUUGACUUUGCUACAUGACGAAGGAUUUUCAUAUCCCUACACUUCCUAUUUUACAUGUGAACUAAUUAUUUUAUAUUUUAGUUCCAUUAUUUUGUAGUUUAGUCUUAUUACAGGCAUUACAUUUUAAUCUCAUUGAUCUAUAUAAUGGUUCCAUGUGUUUAUAACAUGGGUCUUUAUACUUUCAUUUAGUGACUCAGAUUUUAUUAUAUACUUAAAUGAUUAGGAUUAAAAUUUCAAUAUCAUAUCAAAUAUAAACCCAAUAUAUUUCUUUUUUUAUAAUAAUAAAUUUAUUGAAGAAAGGUAUGAUUGAAUAUUAGAGAUUGUGGCUUUCAAGUUAACACUAAAAAAACUACGCACAUAGAUGAUUUUAGUGUUAAAAAACUUGAGGAGAAUUAUUUCCAAUUGGUGACAUGUGUUAGGUAUAAAGUUGCCUUUAAUAAGAUUGAUAACUACAUUACUAAAAUAUAAAACCUUAUUGGUAAUAAUAGUAAAGGAUUGAUUAUGACACUAACUACUACUUUUUUGGUAUCAUAUCAAAAAGUUAUCAUCAACUAAGGGUAUCAAAUGUAUGCAUGUUGAUCCUAUUACUUUGUACUUGAUAUCUAAUUAGUUAUACUUUAUAUACAUAAUGAUCGUAUUGGUUUGUAUCUUGGUUCAUUACUUUUCAACAUAUGAUACCUAGAUUUCAUUAUUUUAUACUAAACAUUUCAUUGUAUUAUACCAUAUAUGUGAUCUCAUUGAUCCAUACCUUUAUUCCAUUAUUUUGUACCAUGUGAUAGCUCGGAUCCUUGCUUUUGCUAUAUAUUACAUGUGACUUUGGUUCCAUUAUUUUGUAUUCGAGUGUUUUAUUAUUUUAUAAUUUAUAUAUAAUUUUAUUGUUUUCUACCUUAAUUUCACUAUUAUUAACCAUAAAUAACAAUUUCAAUAAAAAAAAGUUUUCUAUGAUAUGGGAUGUAUAUUAUAUAUUAAAUUUAUCAUUUAUGGGAGAUAAUUGCCCCCCAUCUAACGCUCAAAAAAUUAUGCAUAUGAAAGAUUUUAGUGUCGGAAAAGUAGAGAUUUUUUUCUAGAAUUGGGUCAAAAAGGUAUAUGUGUGACAUUUAAAUUUGUCUGCUUAUAUGAUUGAGAUAAGAACAUUUGGAAUUAGAGAAUUAGUCGAUGUUCAAUUAAUAAUGCAGCAGUGAUGAAAUUCAGUGGAAUUAAUUUAGAUACUAUUGAAUGGACGUCUCACAAAGUGGACUAAAUUUUAUCAAUUUGAUUGAUUUGAAAAAUUCAUAUGUUUAAAAUCAUUCAACAUUCUGAGAAUAAUUCCUUUUUCAAUUAAAAAUUGUCUGCUCCACACGAAAAGACAAACUUGGUUUUGGUCUCUUUCCAAAGUAGAAAUAAUUCCAUAAAUAUUGAAUUAUAUUGUUUACUAAAGAGAAUUGAAGAGAUCAAAGAAUGCCAACCAAAAACAAAAAAACAAAAAAAGACAAAUAUUUGCACGGAAAAGUCCAUGCAAUAGUACUCACGCCCACAGCCUAAGACUUCAACAUCAGAGAUAUGAAUAUUCUAUAUUCUAUGUCGGCCAUGACAUCACCUCCAUUCUUCUUCUCCAAGCUAAAACCACAUAGUGAAGAUCUAUAUAUAUAUCUGAAUCAUCCGGUGUUUAAUUCCACUGAAAAUAAGAAAAUUUCUUAGAAUUUUCUCUGUGAGCCGUAGUAUUAGCUAGUGAUGGUGAAGAAAAUAGAGCUUAUUUUUGUCUCUGUCUCAGCUAUAGGACAUCUUGUAUCAGCUGUGGAGUUUGCUAAGCUUCUUGUUGGUAGAGAUGACCGCUUCUCAGUCACUCUACUCAUCAUGAAGCUACCUCUUGAGGACUCUGCGGUAACCAACUAUAUCCAUUCAGUUUCUGCUUCCGUUUCCGGGUCCAUUCGAUUUGUCCACCUUCCUGAACUCGACUCAGAUUCAUCCAAUUCCCACCCAUCAUCGUCAUCCCCUAAUAUCUUCUAUAAUAUCAUUGCAAGGCAGAAGCCUCUAGUGAGGGAUGCAGUCCACCAGCUCACUCGGUUUGAGUCGGGUCGACUCGUUGGGAUUGUGGUCGAUAUGCUUUGUACUGUUAGAUUAAUUUUUGUAAUUAAUCUAUAAUUUGGGCCACACAUGUAAAUAAUUAAAAUGUGUGUGCUAUCAUUUAAUUAAUUAAGCCUAAAUAUAGUGAUCUAAUUAAUAAUUGAUUAAUUGGCUUAAGGGUAUAAUUGUCAUGAGAUUAUUGUGUAGAUACCAUUAGAUAAUUAUUAUUUCUAUGAGGGGCAGAAAUAUAAUUGUGAUAAAAUUAAAACUGCCCUAGCGGUUUAUAAAUAGGGUUAUGGUCCCCAUUCUACGACUACGCAUUCCAAUUUCUGAAAAUCCUCUCAGUGAGAAAUUGACACAAAAUCUAGUGGCUAGAAUUGGAAGACCAUCUCAAAGGGUUUUCUUCCUAUAAGGUUUCUCCUUCAAUGGAUUCAGGUAUGCUUCCGCUAUUAUUUUUUCUACUCAUUGUUUUUAAUCAGGAGAUUCCAGUAUAUAUGAAAUUAGGGUAUUCACCUUGUUAAAUAUUCCAGUAUAUAUGAAAUUAGGGUAUUCAUCUUGAUUCAUUUUAACAUGUACUUCCAUGAUAGAUGUAGCUAAUAAAUUGGGUGUUCCUUCCUAUGUGUACUUCGCCUCCAGUGCGGCCUGCCUUGCUCUCAUGUUUCAUCUUCAAACCCUCAAGGACCGCCAGGGCGUGGAUGUUACUGAGUUUGCUAACUCGGAUGCUAAGUUGGUGGUCCCGGGUUUUGUCAACUCGGUUCCUGCUCGAGUCUUGCCUGCUACGGCGGUGGACAAGGAGGGUGGCGGAUCCAUGGAUUUCCUCGAUCGGGUAAGGAGCUUUAGAGAUGCCAAGGGUAUUUUGGUAAAUACAUUUAUGGAGCUAGAAUCUCAUGUGAUUAACUCCUUUGUCGAUGGUACAACUCCUCCCAUUUACACAGUAGGGCCAUUAUUGAACUUACAACAUGCCAACAAACAAAAACAAGAUAGUGACUUGGAUGUCAUCCAAUGGCUUGAUGAUCAACCCACAUCAUCUGUGGUGUUUUUAUGUUUUGGCAGCGCUGGAGCAUUCCACAUGGAUCAAAUCAAGGAGAUUGCAAUUGGGCUUCAGAAUAGUGGGCAUCGUUUCUUGUGGACACUCCGACAACCUCCACCAAAAGGUAAGAUGGCAAUACCUAGUGAUUAUGUGAAUUUCGAGGAAGUAUUACCUGAAAGGUUCUUAGAUCGUACAUCUAAAAUUGGAAAGAUAAUUGGAUGGGCACCACAAGCAGCUGUUUUAGCUCACUCUGCAGUAGGAGGGUUUAUAUCUCAUUGUGGGUGGAAUUCUAUAUUAGAAAGCAUAUGGUAUGGUGUCCCAGUAGCUACAUGACCUAUGUAUGCAGAACAAUAAUUGAAUGCGUUUCAAAUAGUAAGAGAGUUAGAAAUGGGGGUAGAGAUUAGAUUUGAUUAUAACAUGAAUACUAGUAAUCUUGUAAGUGCUCAAGAAAUUAAGAGUAGAAUAAGGAGUUUAAUGGAUGAUAGCAACAACAUUAGAAUGAAAAGGGCAAAAAUGAAAGAAAAGUGCAUGAAGGCCUUGACAAAAGGUGGAUCUUCGGACUCUAGCAUACAACGUCUAAUUGGAGACAUGAUAACUAAUAUCUCAUGAAGUGAAUGCUAAAGCAAUGUAUUAUAAAAAAAAAGGUUCUAAGUCCUUAAAAAUGUUUGUUUCAAUUGCUUUUAAUAAUGUAAUGGUUGAGUGUCAUAGAAAAGUUGAUUAAAAAAUUAAGUUGAAAAAAAUGUAUUGUCUACUUAUUUUAAAUAAAAAUAAAAGUAGCAUAUGUUACAUCUUGUGUGACAUCUUUAUUUUAAUAUUAGAUGAUGUAUCAAAUCCAAAUUGUAUGGGAAUAUAAAUAGAUUUUAGGCUUUCUCAUCUUAUAUGUCUUGUCCUUGUAAACCCCCAUACGAAAUGAUCACGUCCCAUUGCCAUUUUCAUUCAAUUUGGUGUUUAAUUUUGUUAUUAUUAAUCGUAAGAGGUUAGUUUUACCCAUCUUCCUCACAUUUGAUUACAAAUAUUUGAAUUUUCAAUACCUAACCUUUUCCCAUGUCAUUUGGGAGUGGUUAUUAAAGGAUUAAAGUAACUUUGUCAAAGUAGUGGUUGUGAAAUGACAAAAUUUUGGUUUUAGUAAUAUAAUUUUGUAGAUUUAGAGGGUAUUUGGUAAAUUAACUUAAUAACUUAAAGUAACUUGAUAACUUAAUUUAAGUUAUUAAUUAAAUUAAGUAUGUUUUGUAAAAUAAUUUAAUGAUAUGGCUUAAAGUAAAAAACAACUUUAAGUAAUAAGCAAAAUAAUUAAAUUAUUUUUAAGUUUAUAUCCUCAUUUGACAUUUUUAUCCCCAUUUACCCUAAUUAUCUCCACAAUCUCUUUUACUAUUUCACGAUCUUCAUUGUUACUCGACUUCCAUUUCCCUAAUUAUAAUUUCUAAGAAUAAAUAUGUUAAUUUAAUUAUUUGAAAUAAAUUUUAAAUUAAUUUUAUCAAACAAUCUUAAUAAUUAAAGUAAGAAUUAAGUAAUAAGUUUUAAAUCAACAACUUAAAUAUAAUUUAACUUAAAAUCAACUUAAAUUAUUAAGUAAUAAGUAUUAAGUUUUACCAAACAUUCCCUUAGGUGGUGUUUGUAUUUUUUUUUUUACUUAAUUAUAAAUAGAAUUAAAAAACUAAAUAGCGUUUAAUAGUAUUAAGUAUUAAGUUAUUUAUUUUUAUAAUAUUUUAUUUUUAUUAAGUAUUUAAAAAUAAAGAAAAAACCAACAUAUUACUUUUUCUAUUUAGAAAAAAUUAAAUAUUUUGAUUUUUUUUACUCAAAAAAAUCUAUAAUAAGUCAUAAAAAUAGAAAAAUAACCCUCUUAGUUUAUAUUAAUUUCUUCUUUAACUUAAAUGAUUUUUUUUUUUUGUAGUUUUUUUUAGUGACUUUUAAAAAAAAAUGCAAAAAUGGACUUUUUGUGCUUAAGCUUUUCAAAUUAAUAGAUAUUUUUAUUAUUUUGUAUUUCAUAUUAAUAUAAUUAAAAAUAAAAAAUUGUUAAAAUAUCUCACGUGUAUAAAGGAAAUGAAUCAUGGGUAGAAACAAAUGGAAUUAUGCUAAAAUAUAAAUAAAUAAAUAAGAUAUUUUGGUUAUAUUGUAUUUUUUUUAUUGAUCACCAAUUUUUUAAACAAGAUCGGGAAUUGCAUUUUAGUCUCAUAGAAUGGCCCAAAAAGAUUAUGACACAUUGCAUAAUAAAUAGACAAAUGCAUUACGUGUGAGGCUGGUCCCAAAGGUGAUGGGGGUUGGGUAGAAUAGGACUUGCAUGUGACACCCAAAUAUCAUAUUCCCAAAAUCAGAAAAUAAAUUCCCGAAUCAAGGGAAACACUAUGAGAGAUAUGAGAGAUGAGAGAAUGGAGAAGAAGAAAGAGCAACGAAGGUGUUCUGCUACUACUGCGAGAGGGAGUUUAAGGACGAGAAGAUUCUUGUUCAGUACCAGAAGGCCAAGCACUUCAAGUGCCAUGUCUGCAACAAGAAGCUCUCCACCGCCUCUGGCAUGGCCAUCCACGUCCUCCAAGUCCACAAGGAAACUAUCUCCAAGAACUUUUGCUUGUCAUUUGCAAUUUUUUUUUUAAGACAAUUUCCAUUCAUGUGUGGGAUUGUUGGAAUUUAUAUUGGUGAAUGGAAAUUAGGAUUUUUUUUUUCUCAGAAGACAUGUUUCUUAAUAGACACAACUUAUUUUAAAGGAUGUGUCUUGUAUUUAAAAGACACAUCCUCUUCCAAAGGAUUUGUUUAACGUCUUAAGACACAACUAUAAACCCUCUAAUUUGUCUUCUUAGCAUAUGUGACACUAGGUGUCUUCUCAUACUCCUCUCUUGACUCGUAGACAUCCCUUAGUGGCCCAUCGACAAUUAUAUAGUUUCAUUUUCUAAACCACCUUCAGGGACCCUUUGUUGAGGUACUCAUUCGGACCUACAUUGUGACCUUGGCCAUCCUUUGUCCUUAGGUUAGAUCCCACUUAGGUUCACCUAGGCCCUCUUAGAUUUACUAAAGCCCACCUUGGCCCACCUUAACACACCUCAACCCAUGUUGGUCACUUUUAGGUAAUUCCUGCAUGACUUACGUAGUUCGCAUGAUUUGCAUUUUUAACGCUCAAAUAUACUUGAUUUUCUUAUUUAUUAAUUUUUCUAUUUAUUUAUUUAUAUUUAAUAUUAUUUUUUUAGUUAUUUGUUUAUUUUUCUUUAUUUAUUUACCUAUUUUCAUAAAAUAGCGUGUGGUUGGUUAUCUUGUCUCUUUUAUUACCAUGGGAACUCGGGUUAUACCAUGGGAAAUCAAGUUACUAUAAGAAGAGUGUAAAUGUGAAGUUGUGUUUGACUUAGGUGGUGUUUGUUUUUUUACUUAAUUCUAAAUAGAACCUUAAUACUUAAUAGUAUUAAAUAUUAGGUUGUUUGUUUUUAUAGUAUUUUAUUUUUAUUAAGUAUUAAAAGGUAAAAAAAAAUCAUUGUGUUAUUUUUUCUAUUUAGAAAAAGCCACAUAUUUUGGCUUUUUUUAUUUAGUAAAAAGUUUAUAAUAAGUCAUGAAAAAGUAAAAAAACAAACAACCUAAAUUCUAAAACUAAAUGGUUUUCAGCAAAAAGCCAAAAAAACAAACACCACCUUUAGUCUUUCUUUUUUUCCGACUCUUUGGGAAGAGUCCCAUUAGGAGUGUGCUAGUAGAGUCACAUUCCACUUACAAGUAGAGUCUCAUUCUGCUUACAAGUAAAGUCCUAUUUUGAUUACAAGUAGAGUCUCAGUGGGAUUGUGUUAGUGGCCUAUAAAAAUAGGUCACCCCUCACUCUCAAAUAAUUUUUUUUUUUCAAAGAGUUCUUCUAAAACUUCCAGCGUUUUGCUUCCCUCUCCACUCUUUCAUACAUUUAUUUGGAGGAAUUUUUUAGAACCCGAGUUGUACACGUCUCGCCUGUAGAGUGCACCUAAGGCGAGACUCACUGGUACCCUUGUGCAUUGAGUUCAUCUUCGAGAAUGGUGGAUCUAUUUCAAGGAUAGUGUUUGUCACACCUUAGCCUAUCACCGAUAAGUUUCUUGCUAUUCAUUUUGCUCUUUGUUCGUGUGUUUUGGGCUAGUCCUCUAUUUUCAUACCCUUAAAACAACAAUCAUGAAAUAGAUCCAAAUGGAAGCCUCUCUAGUUCACACUUGUCCUAACACCUCUAAGAUUGAUCCCUUCAACAGGACAUUGUUCAAGAGAUGGCAGGAAAUAGCUUUCUCUACAAUUGAUGUAGUGGACUUGGGACACAUUUUGACUGACCCAAAACCAGAAGAUGGUUCUAAAUCGUUGCCUACUUGGGAAAUUGGUAAUAAACAAGUUAGGCAUGAUAUUCUUAGUACCAUUUCUACAUAGUUGAUUCUUGUGAUAUUUGGCAUGGUAGAUUAGGACAUGUGAACUUUUCGUAUAUGAAGAAAAUGGUUGAAUUAAGUUUAAUUCCUAAGCGGUCCUUAGAAAACCUUGGAAAAUGUUAAUCAUUUGUAGAAUCUAAAACCACAAAGAUAUCUUGCAAAUCAGUAGAAAGAGAAUCAAAUCUACUAAGUUUAAUACACAGUCACUUAGGAGACCUAAAAAAUACAAUGACUAGAGGUGGUAAACAAUUCUACAUAACUUUCAUAGAUGACUACUCAAGGUAUACAAGUGUAUAUCUUUUGAGAAACCAAGAUGAAGCAAGAGAUGUUUUCAUCAAGUACAAAAAUGAAGUGGAAAAUCAACUAAGUAGGAAGAUUAAAAGGCUUAGAACUGAUAAAGAAUGAGAGUAUAAGUCCAACCCCUUUAAUUCUUUUUAUGAAGAUCAUGGGAUCAUUCAUGAAACUACUCUUCCUUAUUCCCACGAGUCUAAUGGAAUAGUGGAAAGGAAAAAAUAAAACCUUAAAAGAAAUUAUGAAUGCAAUGUUGGUAAGUUCAAGAGCAUCCUUGAACUUGUGGGGAGAAGCUAUCAUCUCUGCUUGUCAUAUUCAAAAUAGAAUACCUUACAAGAGAAUUGGUAAAACUCCUUAUGAGUUGUGGAAGGAUUAUGCACCUAAUAUAGCAUACUUGAAAGUGUGGGGGUGUUUAGCUAAAGUUCUUUUCCUUGAACCUAAAAAAUGAAAACUAGAAAAUGUUCAUUGGUUAUGCUGAGAAUAGUGUGGCAUAUAGGUUUCUUGUUACUAAGUCAAAAAAUAGUCUUGUAGAUGUCAAUACCAUAAUAGAAACAAAUAAUGCGGAUUUCUUUGAAAACAUCUUUCCCAUGAAACUAAAUAGUGAACAGCAAGUUCAGAAAAGAAGUAGAGAUGAGACUAUUGAACCUUCUAAAUUUGAACCUAGAAGGAGUAAAAAAGAUAAGAAACAAACAAACCUUAGAGAUGGUUUUUAAACCUUCCUAAUGGAUGAGGACCCUAGAUCCUUCAAAGAAGCUAUAACUUCUCCUGAUGCACCAUUCUGGAAGGAGGCCAUUAAUAGUGAAAUUGAAUCAAUCAUGUAUAACCAUACAUGGGAGUUAGUAGAUUUGCCUCCUAGUGUAAUGACUAUUGGUUAUAAGUGGAUCUUUAAAAGAAAGUUAAAACAAAAUGGGUCCAUAGAGAAGUAUAAAGCUCGUUUAGUUGCCAAAGGCUUGAACAAAGGAAUGAUGUAGAUUACUUUGACACAUUUACCCAUGUGACUAGAAUAACGCCAAUUAAAGUAUUGAUCGCUCUAGCUUCCAUUCAUAAUCUGGUGAUACACAAAUGGAUGUCAAGAUUGCAUUAUUGAAUGAGGAUUUGGAAAAGGAAAUUUAUAUAGAACAACCUGAGGGUUAUGUAGUUCCAGGGAAGGAAAAAAAGGUGUGUAGGUUGGUUAAAUCACUAUAUGGGUUAAAACAAGCUCUGAAACAGUGGCACAACAAGUUUGAGCAUGUGUUAGGAACUAAUAGAUAUUCCAUUAAUGAUGCUAAUAAAUGUAUCUAUAGCAAGUAUGAGCAUAACACAUGUGUAGUCAUUUUUCUUUAUGUUGAUGACAUGCUGAUUUUUGGAACUAGCCUAGAGGUUGUGUGUGAGACCAAGAAAUUCCUAGGUUCUAAGUUUGAUAUGAAAUACUUAGGAGAGGCAGAGGUGACUCUAGGAAUUAAAAUAACUAGAACACCUAAUGGGUUAAACCUUUCUCAAGAGCAUUAUACUGAGAAGAUCCUAAGGAAGUUUGAACACUUUGAUUGUAAACUAGUGUCAACUCCUUAUGAUCUCAACUCAUAGCUGAAGAAAAAUAGAUAACAAAAUGUUCCAUAAAUCGAGUAUGCUCAAAUCAUAAGGAGCCUAAUGUAAUAAAUGAACUGUAUAAGACUUGACAUUGCUUAUGCAAUAGGUAGAUUAAGUCAAUACACCCAAAGUCCUAAUCAGGACCAUUGGGCUUCUAUUCGUAGAGUUCUUAAGUAUUUGAAAGGCACCAUUAACUAUGGUUUGUGCUAUAAUGGAUUUCCAAGUGUCCUUGAAGGAUUUAGUGAUGCAAGUUGGAUCUCAGAUUCAGAUGAGAUGAAAUCCACUAGUGGAUAUGAUUUCAUUCUUGGUGGAAGUGCAGUUUCUUGGAAGUCUGCCAAGCAAACUUACAUUACUCCUUUACUAUGGAGACUAAAUUUAUUGCCUUAGAAAAUGCAAGUUCUAAGCUUGAGUGGCUUUAGAAACCUCUUAGCAGAUAUCCCUUUAUGGACGAGACCAGCCCCAUCUGUGUCUAUGCGUUGUGAUAGCCAAUGUACAAUUGCUAAGGAUAAAAGUAAAAUAUUUAAUGGAAAGAACGAGCAUAUAUGCCUAAGGCACAAUAUUGUGCAAGAGCUGCUUGAAAUCAGGGUUAUAUCCUUAGAAUUUGUGAGGUCGGAGUUGAAUUUGGCCGAUCCUUUAACCAAACCACUAAAUAAGAAACUAGUGGAAGAAACAUCGAGGUGGAUGGGGCUUAUGCCUAUUACAAAAGUCAAGGGUGGUGGUAACCCAACCUAUUAAAAUGGAAAUUCCAUAAAGUAUGUUCAUAUGGGUAAUAACAAAUCACUUGUUAACUUGAGGUGCUCUAUCAAAUUUAAUUAUACGAGAGUCUAUCCCUAUGGUGUAGAUAAAGUAUAUUCUUCAUUGACUAAGGUUGAGUGUUUACUCUUAAUGAAUACCAUAUUCCUUAUAGAUGGUAUGUUUAAAUGCAGAGCAUACUUUAUGGAUUCACCUAUAUGAGAGUGGAGGUGGUGUCGCUUCCUAUGAGAACUUAGGCAGGUUCUUUGGAGUUCUCAUGAAUAUCCAGGUAAGGCGCAUGGCCUAUUUGUGCCAACCCAUUAUGUACAACUCGUAGUGUAGUUGAGAAAAUCAAUGUUGAUAAAGGUCCCUUGAGUUACAUCAAGAAACAUUGGUUCAUAGAAAUUCAUUUUUCAUCAUGUUCUGUGAUUCAAUACUUAUUUGUCCUAAGACUGGUUCAUAGCCUUUGGGCACUAAUACUGAUGCAUUGAAUUAUUUUUUCCUCCAUUUUUUUCUUCCAUCACAUCUACUCUCUAUAGGGGAUUGUAUGAAAAGUGUAAAUGUGAAGUUGUGUUUGACUUAGUCUUUUAUUUUUUGUUGACUCUUUGGGAAGAGUCUCAUUGGGAGUAUGCUAGUAGAGUCCUGUUCCGCUUACAAGUAGAGUCAUGUUUUGUUUACAAGUAGAGUCCUUUUUUAUUACAAGUAGAGUCAUGUUCUGAUUACGAGUAAAGUCUUGUUAGGACUGUGUUAGUGGCCUACAAAAGCAGGUCACCCCUCACUCUCAAAUAAUUAUUUUUUUCAGAUAGUUCUUUUAAGCCUUCUAAUUUUUUGCUUCCCUCUCCACUAUUUCAUACAUCUAUCUAGAAGAAUUUUUUAGAACCCAAACUAUACAUGUCUCGCCUAUAAGGUACACCCAAUGAGAGAAUCACUAGUUGUUGAAUCCUGAAGGUAGGCCACUGCUACCCUAGUGCACCGAGUUUGUAUUCGAUGAGGGUAGAUCUAUUUCAAGGACAAUGUUUAUCACGCCUUAACCUAUUACCGAUAAGUUUCUUGUUAUUCAUUUUGUUCUUUGUUUGUGUGUUUUGGGUUAGUCCACUAUUUUCAUACCCUUAAAACAAUAGUUACUUCAUGGGAAAGAUAGGAUUAUGACUUGAAGGAAGUGAGAUGAAGAAGAUGUUGGAAGAGGAAAAGAUUUUUGGAGGAAAAUGACAAUUGUAUUCUUUAGGGAGUCGCGCCAUCAAUAUGGGAAGAUUGAGUUUCCAUUGAAAAAAACAAAGAUAAAAAAAUAUUUAAGAAAAAUGAUCAACAAAGACUGCUAAUUUGAUUUUGAGGGUCAUUUUACAAUAGACCGAACCAUCUAAUAACCCUUUUCUUCAAAAAAAAGGACAUCACCUUAUGACCAUACUAAAUCCAACAUUGCCAUUUAGACCACAAGGAUGUUUGUUUGCUAUUUGCACCAUAAAAUGAUGCAUGAAGUUGUAUCGUGCACCAUUUUGUGAGUUGCAAACCACAUUCUGGUAAGUUAAGAGUAAAUAAUCCACAUCAAAUUUUGGAAGCCAUGACAUCUGGGGGCUUAUUAAUACUUGAGAGGAACCUUUUCGACUUUCCGACAUCUUUGAUCAUUUAAUCCAAAUAAAAGUAAAAAAAUCAAAGAUAAUUAGCGAAUAAGGUUGUGAUAUGGUGCCUAAUUUCGGGUGUAAUAACCUUAAUUUUGAGUUAUAUAUCACAUUUGAUCGUCAAAGACAUGAGCAAUAGAUAACGGGGGUUUAGAUUCUUCCAUCCAUAUACCAAUGAUGGCGGUGAUGGUGAGAGGGUCUUGUGGCGCGCCGUCAAAGCCAUCCAAAAAGAAAGCUCCAACCUAGACUACAUCAUCUACACUGAUGACCAUGAUACUUCUUCUAACAGCUUGAUGGCUUGUGUCGUUCAACAUUUUGGUGGAGUUUUCAAGGUGAGGGUUGAAAAACAGGUUUGAGCGUGUUGGAAAAGAGAUUCAAAGUGUUGGGAGGAUUUUUCAAAAAAGAGAUCGCACACAAAGGAUGGUCCUCUUUCUAGUUGAGAGAACGACGAGCUGAAUUUUUUAGGAACAACAAUCAGAAUUUUUAGAAUGGUGGAUGUUCAGAAUUUUUUUUUUUUUUAUGGGAUAACGAUCAGAAUUUUUUCGAGGACAUCAAUCAAAAUUUUUGGAGAGGAAGAUGCAACAAAGAGCCAUUAUCCUAGCGCUCACCACCAAAAUUGUAGAACCAACUCACCAUUGACAACUUUUCUCUAUCUUCAUGCACAGGUUGAUCAAUUGACCAUUGGGACACUCUCUCUACGAGAAAACCAAUAGAACCAAUUGUCAUAUUCAUAUGAAAGAAGGUUGCCACAUGGAGGGGCUACCACUUUGAAACCAUUGUCGGCAUUAUUGAUGCUAAGCCAACUGGAGUUAGGUCCAUCUAGCUUCGUUGAAGUUAGAAAAACUUCUUCCCUACUUCGUGACUCUUAAAGAAUCCGUCUAGCUAUACUGGAGUUAGACAAGCUUGCUUCCUGCACAAAAGGAUGUUCGGACGGGUAGUUCAGACACGUCCCUUUGAAGCUAAAGUUAGACAAGAAUAGCUCUAACUAUUUUGUGGGAAAGAGUGAGUGUGUAUGUACACGCGUACCUUGUUCGUACUUUUUGGAGGGUUUAUAUAGAACUGAUGACACUACCACUAUAGUACUGACUAGACACUUUGACCUUCUUUUGUAAUGAUAAUUAUCCUGCGGGCGGCUGGACAAUUAUCAUAGUUAAGGGCAGUUGGCAGGUGCCAUUUGCUGACAUGUCAAGAUCUCAGACCAUGUAGCUAUCUGUCCACUCAGUCUGUCAACGUUUGGGAUUAUGUUGAGUCAUUAAUUGACAUGGACUUGUGGGCUAAAUGGAGUCUUGUUGGCUGCUCAAAUGUCAAGCGUGAAUGAUCAAGCAUGCCAGAGGUCUUUAAGACAUGACUAGACAAUUCUUGCCAUUUGGGAGUCCAGACUCCCAAUGUCACCUGGCCCUAUGGGGGAAAGGAACCCUCUCACUUCUAGUGCCAGACGAAACUUGUCUUGGUCUGGAUGGAACGAUCUGAAUAAGUUACACGUUUGUCCUAGACGGCCAAAGUGUUUGAGCUGGAAAAGGACACGUGGAAAGGGACCCCUCACAAUACCCCCUUAACCUAUCUACCUAUGUUCGAACACCGUCGAGUAGAGGUAGAAUGAGUUACCUAUCUUCUCAGGUUACUUAGGCACUUUAGAACACGUAUCACUUGAAGUAGCAAUGAUGGGUCGCAUCCAUCGAGGCUACCAUUUAGAAGGAGCGCCGCUUUGAGAUAUGUUUCCAAACAACUUGUCUUUUAGGAUUCCUAGGUUUUUGGGUCCUUAUAAAUAGAGGGCCCCCACACCCUUUGGAUUACUUUUUGGUUUUUCCCACUCUAGAGUUUUCUCUUCUUAGUUUCUGCAUCUUCAUUGUCGUUACGCUAGUUGCCGCUCAUUCUCCACUAUUCUCACCGUCAUUCUCAAGCUUGCUUCCGAUGUACUUCCUCUCGCUAGAGAGCACUUACUUUUGACUCUAGUAAGCCUCUUGUCAUUCGCUAUUUUUGUUGUUCACUGUUCAUUUUGGGACUACGUCGACGGUUGUUGAGUUUAGACCAAAAAUAGACCUCGUGGCAUCCAAAUUCUAAGGUUGUCUUAUGUCUUCAUUUUGGAGAAGAUGACUGUAUCGACCAUCAAAUCUAGGAUUUUCUAGAUUUCUCCAUUUUGCUUCCUCAUUGUUAAUACCUUCAAGGGUCGGUUUAGGCAUUUUUUGUCCUGCCACCGUCGUACUAGUAAAAAGGGAGCGUGAUCCUCCUUUUGAUUACUGGUCAAGAGGCUUGCUCUACAAGUUUCAUUAAAAGGUCUGUUUAGACUUGGACUUUUGGUCCAUCUAGGUUUUUUGUUGUAUAGUUGAGGCACUGCAAAACGGCGGAUGGGUCGGGUGACCAUUUCUAAUAACUUUGUUGUCCCACGCAGGUUUCCACGCUGCCCAAAGUUACUCAGCAUGUAGGCAAGAUGAGGUAUUGCUUCCACCAGUGGAGGUGGUAGGCCCUAGAAAGGUGGUCGGAGAGAUACUAGAGUAAAGUGCCUUAAAUCAAAACUUCUAGUUGAUCUUCUGUCCGAAUAGGAGUUUCGGGCACGCUUUCAUAUCUCAGACAAAAUUUCUAUCCACCUAGUAGACAACGAGGCUCUAUCCUCCAAAAACUAGUCCUAUAACUCGAUGUACUUCAGCAAUGAGCAAUUUGUUGUGAGGCUUCAUCUACUUCUUCCCUCAUUCUAUAAGCAAUUUCUCCACUUCACCUAGAUUCCUCUAGCUUUCCUUCAUCCAAAUGUUGUCCGGGUGUUGAUGGGAUGCAGCAUUAUGGACAUGCUCUUCUAGUUGGACCUUUCCUUAAUGGAAGUCUUGUUCAUCUAUACGGUGAAGAUGAGUCAGAAGGAAAGGUUUAGCCUGUCAUCCCACAUCAUUUCCCUCUAGCUAGUGACCGGACUUCCAAACUCAAACAAAGGUGGGACAAAGAGGCAUGUCCUUGUGUCCGGUCCUUGGAGGGAUCCAUUUGAGGGGCUAGACAGAGUCUUUACUCUAUAGCACUCGCUAGAGAUUCCAAGUAGGAUAUGCCUCUAUAACUUUUAUCUAUUCUUCACAAUUAUUUCUUCCUCACUGAGAACUUAUUGGUAAUCUUUCUUUUUGUGUAAUGCAGGCAAGGAUAGGCAAGGUCGUCUUGUAGAGUAGCUGGAUAAAGUUUCCUUCACCUGACUCAACAAGAUAUUCGAGAUAGACGCGUCUGAACGGAAUCAUCAGGUUCUUUUGUCAGACAAGAAUCUAUUAGCUUUGAUCAACGACCCUAAGCUAUUUAUUAUCCCCGUUUUCCCUCACGUGGCUUCCCUGUCUUUGGUGCCCGACGAGCACUUCGUGCUAAAGGACUUGCUCGUUUAUGAGGUUGCUCGUUUGGCAAAUUCAGAGACAAGUCAGGCCCGUCUAGAGUCACGGGAGAAAAAAUUUUUAGGAAAGGACGCUAAGGCAAGCUUCGACUACAAACCGUCCGGCCUCUAGCUCCACCAUCUGGCCUCUUGCUAAGAAUAAGAAAUGACUUAUUGUUUAGCCCAUUCAAAGGGCAUGGACUCCACCACCUGCACCUCCGACUUCUCCAUCAGCUUCAUCCUCAUCUCCUUCUUCAACUGCCAACACCGAGCCAGAGACAAGGGUUGAGCGGUGGUGGCUCCCAUUGUUUGUGAAUAUGAAGAAAAGGUAGACAUGGCUACAAACUUGAGGGCUGGAUUUCAGGAGAGGCAACACAAGCACCUGUCCGAAUCCAUCGUGGUUAACCUUGCUCCCUCGAAGAGAGCCUAUCCGAAGCCUAUCUACCAAGAACUUGUCUCGGCUCCUACCCCGAUGCCAAUGUCUUCAACUACUGCUGCAUAUACCAUUCCUGAAUUGGACGAGAGGCUUCCUUCCACUGAAGGCAUUACUUACCAUGAUCCAAGGAGGCCCUCCAUCGGUCCGGACCAUCUCAGUGAUGAGUCGCUUGAAUACAUGACUUUCUUUCCCUCCCAUCCAAAGUCAUCCUACGUUCCCAGCCGGGAGGAGAUAACUGAGUUAAUGAGGUAGACUCAUUUCUUCACUGAGAGAGAGAAUCCAAUACAAAAUAUGGGAGUGCUCUUUCUGGCCACUCAACAGAUCCCGGUCGAGAUAGAGAGCAAUCUCAAUCAAUCCUUCAUAGCAUGGCUCCCAUUUGGAACUCUAGACACUACCAUUUCUCGUAUCAUGCCCAUGCAAGACUAUACGACUUUUGAGACGACGGAAGUGGUAAGUCGUUUCCCUUUUCUGUUUAUUCUACCUUAGUCUUUGGUUUCUUAAUAAUUUUCUUGUUGCCCCUUUAGGUGAUAGCCGAGGUCUAAAACCUUAUAUGGCAAUGCGCUCAACUCUUCUACCAACUAGAAGCUGCCAAGAUCAUAAAGGCAUACAUUGCCUAUAACAUGGAUGACAAUAAGAAUCUCCACACCAGGUUGGAGACAACAAAGAGUGAGGUCACUACUACCCGAAAGCUCAUUGAGGAAAAAGUUGGGCUGUUGAGGAAGACAGAAGAAGGGAAUGAGGCAACUGAAGCUGAGGCUAGUCAGCUAGCCAAGGAGAUGGAGACGAUGGAGAUUAGCAAGAAGAAGGUCGAUGAGAAGGCUAGACGGCUGAGGUAAGGGCUACAGGAACUCCGGGCCGUGUUCGCUGUUCAAGAGGAAGAGUUGGAGGCUAAGUACCAGAAACAAGUGGACGACAUGUUCUUCUAUGGCUACAGGUGUUGUAUGAAGAAACAUGGUAUCGCCCAAGACACCCCCAGUUUCUUUUGGACGACGAGAAUGAAGCUGCAGGCAGCCCUGCCCAGGGUAGAAGAGAUGCUUUUGGAAUCAGUCCUUCUGGCAGGCAUGCUUGAUCUUGUAUUUGUACGCGUUUAUCCUAGUCGCAUGUGUCUUAGACGAAAAAACUUGUAAAGACGUUGGAUUUUCCAUAUUUUUUAAUAAAUCUAUUUUAUCCAUUUCUUUUCAUACAUUUUACUUUCAUAAACAAGUUUUAUUGAUAAUACAGCUUUAGGUUAGACACAUUCCAAGGGCAGAGUAGGGGUACAUCGUCUAGUGUUUGAAGAUGGUAUGCCCUUGAGUCUUUACCCUUAGUCACAACGUAUGGCCCUUCCCAAUUAGCCUGAAGCUUUUCGGCUCCUACUUCGACUAUGUUCUCGAAGACUCUUCUGAGGACUAGAGUUCAUGUCCUGAAAAAUCGUGGUCGCGUCUUUUUGUUGUAAUGAGAGAUCGCCCUCUAGCGGUAAGAAGCCAUCUGAGUAGCCACGUUUCCUCGUAUUUCAUCUACCCAAUCCAAAUGUUUUCCAAUUUCUUCAUCGUUAUCUCUUUAACCUUGGACGACCGUUUUGGCGGUAGGCAUGCCUAUUUGGGUUGGAAUAACGACUUCCAUUCCAUAGGCAAGGGAGAAAGGAGUAGCUCUUGUUGGCUAUCUAGAUGUGGUCUGAUAAGCCCAUAAGACUUCGAGCAGUUCGUCUACCCAUUUCCCUUUGGCUCAUUCCAAUUUUUUUUUUAGUGUAGCCAAUAGGGUUUUGUUUGUUGCCUCCGCUUUCCCGUUGCUCUAAGGAUAGCGAGGCGUUGAAUAUAGGUUCUUAAUGUUUAACUCCAAGUAGAAUGUUUGGAAGACAAUACUGUCAAAUUAUGAUCCAUUAUCUGCCACAAUCGCUCGUGGGUCUCCGAACUAGCACACGAUGUUUUUCCAAACGACCUUGGAAACAUCAUUGUCCUUGAUGUUGGCAUAGGCUUCUGCUUCUACCCACUUGAUGAAAUAGUUAGUUGCUACAAGUAGAAAUUUCUUUUACGCUGCUGCGACAGGUAAGGGGUCGAUUAUGCCCAUCCCCCACUAUGCAAACGGCCAAGGACAUGUGAGCGGGUUGAGAGCUUUAAAAGGUAUACGGGGAAUGGGGGCAUAUCUUUGACAACGAUCACAUAUCUUAACAUAGUUUCCAACAUCUUGUUUCAUGGUGGGCCAAUAGUAUCCUUACGUGUGAGCACGAUGCGCUAGGGUUCGUCCGUCUGGGUGAUUGCCACACACACCUUCAUGGAGUUCGGCCAUGACAUAUUUGGCUUUUAGAUCGCUCAAACAUCUUAGGUAUGGACCUCCAAAUGACCAUCUAUAAAUAUGGUCAUUGAUGAGAGUGAAGAUGGCAGCCUAUACACAAAGUCUGUGCGCCUACUUCCCGUUUUUCAAGUAAUUCUCCCAUCUUGAGGUAUUUCACAAUAUCCUGUAUCUAACCAAGGUCUGCCUCAUUGGCACUACAUACUGGUCCAGGUAUGAUUGAGGGUGUGGCUUGGAGUUGGACGGGCAGCAUUAUUGCUUCUCUUAUAGGGAGAGUGGCAGCUAUUCCGGCCAGGGCGUCCACCUUCAAGUUCUACUUUUAGGGUACUCGUCUAACAAUCCACUCAUCUAGAUUUUUUAGGCAAUUUUCCACCAUAGCGAGGUAGCGAGCCAUGCACUCAUCAUUUUCUUUGUACUCUUUCUGAAUUUGUCCAAUGAUUAGCUGAUAAUCGCUCCUGAUCUCUAGCCUUGUUGUAGUCAAUGUUAUGGCAAAGUCUAGCCUAGCUAGGACGGCUUCAUUUUCCGCUUCAUUGUUGGAGGCAGAAAAGUAGAGACGGAUGGCUUGCUCCAACAGUUCUUCAGUUGGUGAUUAUAGGAUCAAACUUACUUUAGAAUCGGACGCCUUGGAUGUUUCAUCUACAUGAAGUGUUCACCAUUGCUCCAGGGGACUCAACUAGAUGUGCUAGUUUUUGAGAGAGUUCGGCUAUAAAGUCGGUCAUAACUUGUCCCUUCAACGCUAACCUUGGCUGGUAUUUGAUUCCAUGUUCACUUAACUCAAUGGCCCAUUUCAACAUUCGUCCAGAUAGAUUUAGUUUGUGUAGGGUAACUCGGAGUGGCUGAUUUGUGAGCACAAUCACUUGGUGAGCCUAGAAGUACGGGCGAAGCUUCUAAGUGGCAUUUUUCAGGGCUACGGUCAUCUACUCCAUUCUAGAGUACCGAGUCUCUAUGUUGACCAUUGCUUUACUCACAUAAUAGACGGGAUUUUGCUAUUUGUCUUGUAUGUAUCGAAACAAGACAGCGCUAACUGCACAGUCAGAUACAUCCAGGUACAUAUAGAGUUGUUUAUCAUACUUGGGGCUGCUCUGAAUGGGCGGUUCAAUGAGGUUGCGCAUGACUACUUCAAAUGUCUAUUUGCAUUCAUCCGUCUAGCCGAAUGUGCUUGCUCCAUUGAGCGUGAGGAAGAAAGGCCUCAACUUGUCUGUGAAACAGGCUAUGAAAAGUUGGAAAGCGACUAGACAGCCUGUGAGGUGUUGCAACUCCUUUUUGCUACUCGGGGCAAGUGUUUCAAGGACGACUUUUAUUUUAUUCGGAUUAACUUCAAUUCCUCUUUGGGUCACCAUAAACCCUAGAAACUUUCCUACACAAACGCCAAAAGUGCACUUAGCAAGAUUAAGCUUCAUGAUGUAUGCCCGCAUCAAGCGGAAUGUUUCUUCCAGGUGCUGGACGUGUUCAUCUUGGGUUCCGUUUUCACAAUAAUGUUGUCAAUGUAGACUUCCACGAUUCAAUCGAUCAAGGGCUUAAAGAUCUUCCUUAUUAAUCUUUGAUAAGUAGCACCAACAUUCUUGGGCCUAAAUGACAUGACUUUGUAGUAGUACAACCCAUAUGGUGUAACAAAAACUGUCUUCUCCUCAUCCAGCUAGAACAUGGGAAUUUGGUGGUAUCCGGAGAAAGCGUCUAUAAAGGAAAGCAUCCCAUGCUCGACUGUGGCAUCAACUAUCUGAUCUAUUUGAGGUAACGAAAAAAUAUCCUUUGGACAUGAGUCAUUCAGGUUGGUGUAAUCAACACAAACUCACACUUCCCAUCAUUCUUUGGAAUGACCACCACAUUUGCCAACCAGUCCGGAUACUUGACUUCUCUGAUAAACCCGACCACUAGCAACUUGUCAAUCUCCGCCUGGAUGAUUUUCUGCCUAUCCGGAUGGAAGCGUCGAACCUUUUGUUGGACGGGAUGUGAAGAAGGUAUGACAUUGAGCCUAUGAGAGGCCAUAGAUGGAUGGAUUCCCGGCAUAUCAGAGUGAGUCCAAGCGAAGACAUCUUUGUUCCAUUGAAACACGCUUUCGAGCAGUUCUAAUUCAACCGAUGUGAGCAAGGAGCUAGUAUAGGUGAUUUUACCUGUGUCAUGUGAGAGGCUCAGUGGUUGGAGUGGAUCAGCUGCAGAUGGAUCAUUCUCCACCGAGUUCAAUAAUUGCUAUUGCUCUCUUGUAUUUGAUAAUUUUGGAUGUGCCUCUUCACUAGCUGGGUGUUCAGAAUCUAAUGCACCAAUGAGCUAGCUGGUUGCCAAAAAGGUUAAUUUGUCCAUUCUCAAUGAGGUAGCUCACCAUUUGAUCAUACGUAGAGGGAACGACUUUCAUUCUAUGAAGCCAUGCACAUCCCAUGAUGGCGUUGAAAUGGGACAAAUCCUCGACCACUGAGAAUUGUAUGUUCAGGGUGAUUGAGCUAACCUAGACAGGGAAUACAAUGUUACCCUAAGAAGUCAUCGUGGCUCCAUUAAACCUGGAUAGUAAUCGCCCUAGAUUCUCUAGGGCAGAGAGUGAGUAGUCCAUCUACUUGUAAGCUGACAUUUGUAAGAGGUCAGUUGAGUUACUUGGAUCGAUCAGAACCCUUCUCACGUCGAACCCACUUAUUCCUAGUGUUAGGACUAAGGCAUCUUCAUGUGGUUGCAAUACUUGACUAGCCUUUACAAAAGGAAAGGUUACUAUGCCGUCGACGGGGCGCAUAUUUCCUUCCAGAAAGUUGUGUUGAAAGGUGCUAAUUCUCUAUCUUAUAGAGGUUGUACAAAGCAACCUUUGCCUUUUUUGUUUAAAACUAUAUUUUUCGUCAAUGGGGCCUCCGUGGAUGUAAUUAAUGAUAGCUCUAGGAGUUGUUGAAGAUGUGGGGGCUUGGACGGCUAGGUCUUAGGUCGUCUCUCUUUGCCUGCCAAUUGCACCAACAUAUUGUUUCAGGUGUUCGACCAUGAUUAGUUUUUUCACCAAGUAGUGGAGACUUCAGCAUUGUUCAAUGGUAUGGUCGUGAUCUUUAUGAUAAGCACACAUUUUGCUCCAAUCUUAUUUAGCCGGAUCUAUCUUGAUCGAUUCUGGUCACCUGAAGUCAGACAGAUUGUAGAUCAUCAGGAGGAGUUUCUCAUAUGGGAUAUUGAAGAGGGUCAAACUAGUAUGAUUCUACUACUGUUGGCCAUCUCGCCUCUUGUUAGCUUGCUUCAAUUGUUUUAAGGGCUUAGAACUUCCUGUCUGGUCAUGCCUGGUCGAACGAUUGGUGACCAAGACUUACUGAGUAGCCGCCCGGACGUCAUCUUCAAGCAUGGAGUACUUAUUUGCUCGUUUGAACAAAUCGUCCAUCGUUGUCGGUGGCUUCUUUGCGAGAGACUCAAAGAAUGGUGUGCCUGGACAUAUGCUUGACUUGAAGAUCUGUAGGAUGGCGUCCAUGUUGCAGGAUUCCACCUCGAGAACAGCCUAUCCGAACCAUUUGAUGAAGUCUAUGAGUGACUCGUUUUCCUACAUCUUGAUGUUUUGUAGAGUGUUUAUUUUUUUCUUAUGAUGAGUUGAAUAUAAGUAGUGGCCCAUAAAGGCCUCCGAUAAAUCCCGAAAAUUGUUCACGAAAUUAUUUGGGAGACGGUGGAACCAAGAGAGAGUCUAGUCGUGUAGGCUGGCUGGAAAGAAUUUGCACAACAAUGCAUCAUUCCUUAUGUCCAAAGUCAUGAGCUGCCUGAAGUGCAUGAUGUGAUUGAACGGAUCACUUAUUCUGUUGUAUAUCGUGAAUUUUGGCACUAUGAACCCCCUUGAGGGCUCAUAGUUAAUAAUGUGAAGGUCGAAUGGCAUAGAGAUCAUGUCAUCUAACCGUCGACUACCAAAGUCGGGUGUGGCUCGAUUUGCGGGGGAUCCUCCUUAUUACUGCCUAAGUAGAUGAGAAGGCGACUCCAACAUAAUUGUUGCUACUGAGGGACUUAGACGGGCCUCCAGGGUUUCUACCAUGUCUGGUUUUCCCUCUAUGCCUGGCGUUUGAGGUCUCAAUCGGGCUCGCAUUACAUCUGAUAGACGUGACUAUUUGUCGCACCUCUUCUUUACUGAUACCUAGUUGAGUAGGUGUUUUCGUCCAACUACACCUAGCGAGCUGAUGAAAACUCCUCCUCAAACCAUGUCAUAUGAUGCCAAAUGGGAAAUCUGCAUUCCCGGGAAAAAAUGUCUCAUCAGUACGUCUUGAGGCUGUUCACUAGCUUUGCAGUUUGUCGACUUUGAGAGGGGCCCGCUAAUGACAUUGGGACAUGCAACUCUUCACUCUCUUCUUUGAGUCGCCUUGUUUGGUGAAGCAAAGACUGUAUCUACCGAUCACUCUCUCGUUGGAGUAUUUCCAUACUUACAUGCCAGGCAAAGUAGCUUUCGCUACCCAUAGCUGAUGAUCAGCUUCUAGAGAGUGUUAACUUCCUUAGUCGUUCCCAAAAACGGUGCCAAUGUUGAUGCUAAGCCAACUAGAGUUAGGUUCAUCUAGCUUCACUAAAGUUAGACAAACUUCUGCCCUACUUUGUGCCUCUUGAAGAAUCCAUCUAGCUAUACUGGAGCCAGACGGGUUUGCUUCCUACAUAAAAUGAUGUCCAGAAGGGUAGUCCAAGCACGCCCCUCCGAAGCUUAAGUUAGACAAGAGUAGCUCUAACUAUUUUGUGGGAAAGAGAGAGCGUAUGUACGCGUGUACCUUGUUUGUGCUUUUUGGAGGGUUUAUAUAGAGCUAAUGACACUACCACUAUAGUGCUGACUAGACACUCUGACAUUCUUCUAUAAUGAUGAUUGUCCUGCAGGCGGCUGGGCAAUCAUCACAAUUAAAGGUGGCUGGUGAUUCGUGCCCAACUGGUGUACUCUUGAUUCAGUCCUCAGACGAGAGUUAUCAACAAAAUUUAUAAGCUUAUUUCACCAUAUACUAGGGUAGCAUAGCAUAGUGGUUCUAGGAUCAUUCACUGGGAUGGGUUUUCAUUUCACACCUGAUAUUAGUUUAAAGAAUUGGAUUGGUGCUUUUUCUUUUCCAAGUUAGCUUUAAAAGAAAACAUAAUCUUUGGUUUGGAAAAUGUUGGUUUUAAGCUAACAAAAAAAAAUAGUAAUUGAUUUUAAUUACAAAGAAAAAGGUUUCUUGGAGUUUGAGGUCACUAGAUUCAGGCCCCUUAUACAAAAGUGGAGAUUCCGGAUCUUUCCUCGUAUUAGGGAUUUAACCUAUAGUUAUUCUCCCAAUUGGUGUGUUAUAGUUGCUUUCCAUUGAUGGUUUCAACGCUAAAUCCCUCUCACUGAUGCAUCUUACAAUGGCUCGUACCUCUCACCUAGCAUUUGCCAUUCAAGGUGAUCCUUAAGCUUGGAUUACCCUUCAAAAGCUGGCAAGAGAUAACUAAUGGAUGUCUCCUUAGAGUCCAAAAGCUUACCAAGUGUUGGCUAUUCUAGAAAAUCCUACCUUUAAACAACCUACCAGAGGCUCGCAAGAGAUAAACUAGUGUAACUCAAUGGACGGAGUCCACUUGCUGAUUACUACCAAAAAGUGCUAUUUUGUAGACCUAACUAUAAUGGUUUUAAGCACCUUUGAGUAGUAAUCAUAUUCAUUUAACCCAAUUAAUUCAUUAAGGUCCUUAGUAAUUGGUUUUAACCAUUUUGUGGCAAGUUUACAUGUUUUUAUCAGCUUAUGAAUCAAUUCAAGCAUGCCAAAUGAUGGAGGAGCUACUUGGACAAGUUAUGGUAAAGCUUUUGGAAGCUCAAAUUCAUGAAGAACCAAGCUUUGGAGCUCCAUAGCCCUUUGCCAAAGUCGUUCAAAGUAUGCAAGGAAAGAACAAUGGAAAAGAGGAAAAGCAAGCAAAGUGAAGAGAAGCAAAGAGGACAGCAGCUGCAGUAUUCUUUCACACUUUUGGAGCACUUCCUGAAGUCCAUUUUUUACAUGCUAUAUACCAUUUCAAAGCUCUGGAAGUCAAGAAUCCAACUCUUCAAACCGUGUAUGAUUUGGAGCUGAAAUGAGGAAGAUAUGGCCUUCGGAAGCCAACUGCUCUAGGUUGUACGAAAAUUUCGCACGACACAAGGUGUUAUGCGAAAUUCGCACGACACAAGGUGUUAUGCGAAAUUCGCAUAACACCUUCAAAAUUCACAUAACCCAUGCGUGGUGCGAAUUUUCCUCUGUUUUUGCCAACUCCACUUUAGAUAUUUUCCUUUGUAUUUUGUGAUGUAAUUUCCUUUCUUAUCCUUGUAACUAACCAAUCACAAGUUUUUGCUUUUGUAAAGACUAUAUAAGGGGUGGAAAUCACCUCUUGGAAAAUAUAUAGAACAUAGGUUACGUUUUACACUUAGAGAAAUAUACAGAGCUCUCUCGUUUCUCUUUUCUCUUUACUAUUUUAUUUUCUUGGAAGCCAAACAGCCUCUGAGGGCUUUUCCUCAGAGGAUGAUUGGCUAAAACUUUUAGUUUCUCAAAGUAUGGAUGUUAUGUGAUAGCUUGGAUGCAAUCCCAUGGAAAUUUCUCGCACCUAGAAGGUAAGGUAGACGUUUUUCAUUAAAGGUUCAUUAAUGCAAAGUUUGGUUUUUAUUUCCUUUGGACAACUUCCAACAGCCAAUACUUGAUAAGCUUUUGGAUUUCUAUCCAUUAGUUAUCUCCUACGAGUUAUUGGAAGGUGAGGUUUUCAAUUCCAAGUUUUGCAUUAAUCCAUUAGAACCAAUUUCAAUGGCCAUUGAAAGGUGAGUUUAUCACCUGGAAUGACUUUGAGUUGCCAAUAUUUGGUAAGCUUUUGGCUUUAGACCAUUAGUAAUCUCUUACGAGCCAUUCAAAGGAAGUCUAAGGUGAAUAACCAUUGAUGAAAUUCACUACCAUCUGUUUUGCCAUUUUAAAGGAUUAAAACUUGAUUUGCUAAAUCCAUACCGGUUCGGGAAGCAAGCAUCACCAUAGUUGCAACCCCAACGCGAGGAGCCUAUCCUGAGAUUUCCAAUUUGCAUAAGAGCCAGAGCAUAGCUAUCCUAUCUUUGAGAAACUUGUUUUUACACCCUUUCAUUUUAGUCUUUAAUGUUAGCUUAGAUUAGUUUAAAUCUUUCUAAAACAUUUACAUCUUCUUUUAAAGCUAACAUCCAUAAGAAAAUCACCUAUUUUCCUAAUUUGAAUAUCACUUAUGUUUGCGAAAACUCUUCCCAGUGAACGAUCCUAGAACCACUAUGCUAUAGUAGCUUGGCUACUUUAGUAAUAGUAUUUAAGGUAUAAAUUUUGUUGAUACGCCUUUAAAGCUAAGCUACCAUGAGUCGAAUCACUUGCUUUACCAAGUGUUGGCCCAGGUGAUUUUAAGUCAUUUUAAGUUAACUAAAAAUAUAAAAAUCAUUAACGGGUCACAACUUCCUCUUCAUUAAAAACUAAAAAAAGGAAAACUCCCACUUUUGUAGUCGGGUCCCUUACCUAGCUCCCUUCCGUCCAAGAGACAAAAAGUCUAACCUCUCAUCCUCUAAGAAAAUAUCUUUAGAGGUUGUUUGGUUAGAAAGAAAAAUACAAUCAAAACGAGUAGGUAAGGUAGAGCAACGCUCUGUAUAUUUCUUACUAAAACAUGUCAAGUGAUCCUCCUCUCCAAUGUCUUCCCCUCUUCAAAGAGACGAGAGAUAUCAAAGAUAUAUGAGAGAUAUAUUACAAGGAGAUAUCUUAGGAUAUAUAUAAAGAGAUAUUUUCAACCUCUUGAUUAGAUAUCCUAAAUAUCUUAAAAGAUCUUCAACUGAUUACAAGGAGAGAAUUUAUAAUUACACCAAAUAUCUUAAGGUAAAAAUCUAACGAAGUCGGUGUAAAAUAUCUAAAUAUUACAUUUUCGCAUCGGAGAAAAGUGAUGCAAAAAUUUUUGCAUCGAAGAAAGGCAGUGUGAAAAUUUUCGCAUUAGAGAAAGUUAGUGCGAAAAGUUUCACAUCGGGGAAAGUCAGUGCAAAAAUUUUCGCAUCAGGGAAUGUCAGUGCGAAAUUCCUUUUUAGCUUUAUGCAGUUGCCUUCAAAUGGUCAUAACUUCUUCGUUUUAGCUUCGAUUUGCACACCGUUUGAAGCAUUGGACUCCUGACUUCCCAAGAUUCGAAAUAAUAUAUAGUAUAUAGACAAUAAACUCCAAGAAGUGCUCCAAAUUUUCCUUGAAACUGCUGCUCUUUUGAAUUUUGCAUAACAUGUGAAGAUUUCGCAUUACCAUGUGAAAUUGCUUCAUGAUGGAUUUAUUUCUCUAAUCCUCUUCCUUUCAUCUCUUGAUUUUCUUGGAAGCUCAUUCCCAAGGGUUGCACAAAAUUCUCCCUCAUUCUUGGCUUGCUUCAAUGAUAAAAAAGCUACCAAAAACACCAAAACUAGCCAAAAAUUGAUUAAAAACAUUUGCAAGGUUCCUUAACUUGCCAAUUGAGUUAAAAGGUAUUAAUUACUACUCAAAAGUGUUUAAAAUAGUUUAUAACAAGCUAUAAAAAAUGCACUUUUUGAGUAGUAAUCAGCUGGCAAGUGCCAUCUGCUGACGUGCCAAGAUCUUGGAUCGUGUAGUUGUCUGUCCCCUCAACCUGUCGACGUCUGAGAUUAUAUGCAGCAAUUAAUUAACAUGGACUUGUGGGCUAAAUGGAGUCUCGUAGGCCACUCAAAAUGUCAAGCGUGAAUGAUCACGCAUGCCAUAGAUCUUUAAGACUUGAUGGGACAGUUCUUCCCGUUUGGGAGUCCGAACUCCCAAUGCCGUUUGGCCUUGUGAGGGAAAGGAACCCUCUCACUUUUGGUGCCAGACGGAACUUGUCUUGGUCUGGAUGGAAUGAUCCGGAUGGAUUACAUACUUGUCCUAGACGACUAGAGUAUCUAAGCUGGAAAGGGACACGUGAAGGGGGACCCCCCAUAGGCAUUUCUUCAUCACAAAGGAGCUUCAACAUGUACCGCUUCAUGGGAACACCCAUAGGUGAGUUUUUAUUUUUAUUUUAUAGGAAACUUUGGUAUUUGGAUCCAUGAGGGUCAUAUAUGUAGUGGAAGAUUGACAAUUGUUUUUUUUUUUUAAUAUAAUAUAGAGUCAUGAAUGUUUGGAAGCUAGUGCCUUGGCUUUUUUUAGAGAAAAAAAAAAAGUAAGAUUGCUGUAUAUACACAUGGCCAUCCAUGCGAUGUUUCAAGUGUGUUAGUAGUUUGUUUCAUUGAAUUAAAAAUUAAAGUGAAUGUGGUGGGUCAUGUUGUUAUUGGUUUACAUUCUUAUAAAUUUAAAAUGAAACAAAUGAAAACUAAUAUCCAUGUAGCUUUAUAAUAUUCAUAAAAAUUUAUUUAUUUAUUUAUUUAUUCAUUUUUAUAAAUUUAUUUGUUUCAAAUUUUGAAUAUCCAUGUUAGUUUAUACUUUUCAUAAAAUCAUUUUUUGUUAAUUUUAAAUAUCUAUGUUAAUUUAUAUUGCUCCUUGAACUUUUAGUUUGUAAUUUUGGUCAAUCCAUGUUAAUUUGUGUUUUCCUUAAAAUUAUUAAUCGUUAUUUUCGUUGAUCCAUGUUAAUUUUUUGUGGUCCUUUGAAUUUUUAGUUUUUAAUUUGAUGGCCUAUGUUAAUUUUUAUAUACCUCUGAGCUUUUAGUUGAUGAUUUUAAUAACCUAUGUUAGUAUAUAUUGCUUCUUGAAUUUUUAGUUUUUGGUUUUGGUUGAUCCAUGUUGAUUUAUAUUGCUCCUUGAAUUAUUAAUUAAUAUUUUGGUUGAUCCAUGUUGUUCAAUAGUUUUCUUUAAAUCUUAGGGUUUUAGUUUUUAUUUACCUCUUAUUAGUUUGUGAUUUAAAUAUCCUUAGAUGUUAGUUUUUAUUAUUUUCCAAUUAUUCAUUCUUAUUGAACCUAAAUUAGUUCAUGUUUUUAUUAUCUCUAGCAUUAGUUUGGUUGUUCCUCAUUAAUUUAGGUUUUAAUAUCCCUAGUUGUUGACUUUUUUUUAAUAUUUCAUGUUAGUAUAUAUUCUUAAUAAUUUUAGGGUUGGUUUCCAUUAAUUUAUUUUCUCAUGUUUUGAUAUUCUAGUUGUCAUUUUUCAAUAUUUCAUGUUAGUACAUGUUCUUAAUAUUUUAAGGAGUAGUUUUCACUUAUUUAAUAUCUCGUGUUUCAAUAUUUCAUACUUACUAGUUUUCGAUAUUUGAUUGUUAGUGCAUGUUCUUAACAUCUCUAGGCUUAGAUGCCAUUGAUCUUGUUAUUCCGUUAUUCUUAAAAUUUAUUGUUGGUAGUUUGAUGUUAGUUUUAUAAACUAGAUGUUAGUAUAUAUUUUUAUUUUUUAUUCUUUUUUAUGUUCAGUUUCCUUUACCCUUGAUGCAAUUAAUUUAUGUUAGUUUAAAAUUGUUUUUAUCAUUGUUAUUAUUAUUAUUGUUGUUGUUGUUGUUGUUGUUGUUAUUAUUAUUAUUAUUAUUAUUAUUAUUAUUAUUAUUAUUUGUUAACCCAUAUUGAUUUUUUUGUUGUCCUUUGAUCUUUUAAUCUUAGGUAUUGAUAAUCCAUGUCAUUUGAGUAUUAUUAGAUCAUUUUCAUGCUAUGAGAGUUCUCAUCUUUAAAAUUUUGGUAGUUUUAAGGUGUUAAAUAUUCUUAGUAUUAUUCAUGAUAAUUUUAUGUUAAAUAAUUUUUCUUAAAUGGCAGUAAAUUAGUUUCAGGAUGAUUUUUGGUUAUUUGUUUGAUAUUAGUUAGAUUCAUGUUAUUUAGAUUAUUUGCAUGCCAUUAAAAGUCUUAUCCCUUAUAGUUUAUUAAUUCUUAGGUUUUAAUCUUCUUGUUUUAGUUUCAUGUCAUUCGAUAAUUUUCCAUGAUAUUGAAAGUUCUCAUCUUAGAAAUUUAGUAGUUUUUAGGUUUUGGAUCCUCUUGUUAUUAUUCAUGUAUUUUGAUUGUGUUAUUGUAUUAAACGUUGUCUUUUUUGGAAACUCGGUAGUCUUAGGAUUUCGAUCCUCCAAUUAUUAUUCAUGCAAUUUGUUUGUGUUAUGAAUUAAAAAUUUUAUCUUGGAAAGUUUAGAAGUUCUUAGGACUUAGCCUCAUUCUUAUUUUAGAUUCAUGUUAUUUAUUUAUAUUCAUGCUAUUUAGAAAUAUGGUUGCUCAUCUUUUAAAGCUCGUUUUUCUUUUAAGACGUAGUUUCUUGUUACCACUCAUGGUAUUUAAUUAUUUAUUUAUUUUGAAAGCAUAUUGGCUUGUUUGGGACUCGAAUCUCCUUAUUAAAAUUCUUGUUUGAUCUUUUAUAUUUGAAAGCAUGUUAUUUUUUUGUGAUUUAGUUAAAAUUCAUGAUGUUAAUUGUUUAUCUUUCAAAGAUUGAUUUUUAGAAAAGGAUUUUUAAAAAUUGACAUUUUGAAUUAAGUCAAAAUCACUUCUUUUCUUUCAAAAAAUGAAUUUUUCCCCAUAAAUGAUGUGGCUCCUUGAUCCCAAAUGAAAGGUAGCCAAUAAGGCAAUGCAUGUUGAUAAUUCUUUUGUUUUCAAAUCCCUUUUAAAUUAGAAAUAAAAUAAAGUAAAAUAAAAACUUCAUUUUGUGUCCAAUGUUUUGGAUUCAUCAAAUCACAUGGUUUCUUUUGCUUUCCUAAAAUCAUUCUCAAACGAAUUUAAAUCUUUUUUUAAAAAAAAAAAAAUCUAUUCUGGGUUUUUAAGGCUAAGAUCUCACUUUGUUUUAAACAAAAAAAUAUAUAUGUAACUUAGUUUUAUCCAGAUUGCAUUCCUUUUUCUUAGUUUUCUAAAACUUUAUUUUCUUAACAUAGAUUUAAACUUGUGCUCCCAAGCUAGUAGGAAUACACGGGUGAAUCUUAUGAAUAUUAAUUGGGGAUUCGAUGGGACCCCAACAUAAAAGAAUAUUUUCAAAACUUAUUUUUGUUGCCACUUUUUCUACUUGUUAUAAUCAUAGCCGUCAAUUUUUUAGGAAUAAUAUGCAAGAUGUAUGUGAAAAUUGAUGACUUUGUAUACUCUAAUCAUUUUUGUUAUGCUAUUUAGAUACCAAGCAUCCUAGGAUUUCUUUCUUUUAUUAUUUAUUACUAGAAUUUUGAUCUAACCUUCCAUGUCCUAUGAAAGCGCAUUAUAAGUUAUCUAUGUUAUUCAGGUACUCAUCUUACCUUCGCAUUUUAAUUCCAUAAAUUAUGUAUUGCUUUAUAUAUGAUCAUUACGUAUUGCUACGUAUGUGAUUGUCAUGUUUAGCUUAUUUUUUUUAUUGUUUGUUUGGUUUGUCAUGUUUGAUUAAGAGACUAGGGUAAAAUGCAUGAUGUGUGUUUAUUUUCUAAACUGACCAUUGAUGUCUUGUGAUAGUGCUUAAGUUGCGAUUCAGGCAUGCAAUACAAUCCUUUCUUUAUGAUUGUGUUUUGAAUUCCUGUUUGGCUUGUAAGUGUUGAUAGAUUUUAAAAAUCACCUUAAUCCAUCUAAGUAUCCAUAAUCAACUGACUAAUUGUCAUAUUUCCAUCAACUUAGCUAGUAGAGACCUCUUUAAGGCUUAAAGGGAUGCUACCUCUUUGGAGGUACCUUCCCAAUAGGUAACCUAAUCCCCAAACCCAGACUCGAGUUUUUCGUAGAUAACUUUUUCAAAAGCUAGGAGUCAUUUUAAGGGUUUUGUUCUUACUUGAUUUCCCCUUUUAAAAUUAAAUAAAUAAAAGUAAGUUGUGACUUUAGUUUUUUUUUUUUUUUCGUAAAAUGCAAUGUUUCCGUAAACAAAAGUGAGUCUCGCCAAUCGAGUGGGGAUGUAUUGUGAAAAAUGUGGGUCCACAACAACCCUUCAAGGAAUGUGUCUAGUAUUUUAAAGACAUUUCUUCUAAAGGUCACCUUCAAAUCUAUAAACAAACAUCUCUUCUGAAUGAAUAUUCAUCCAUUCUCUCCAAUCUCUCUUUUAUUGUCAUUCAAGUCCUCCUUAGCUUCAAGUCUAGUCAUUUCUCUUUUUUUUUUACCAAAUAUUUGGUAUACAAGUGAGUACAAAUCACCAAGUGAUUCACCAUUUUUUUGUGAUUUGAAGUGUUACUAUCGCAAAAAAGUGACCAUUGUAUCUUGGGAGACAAUUGUCAAUAAACCAUAAGCACCUGAACGGGAAAAAUUCAUCUUAAGGACAUAGAGUCAAACUUUAGCCUCGAUCAACCUUAUUUGUGAGUUUCAAUUUCCUACUUAUUUUAUUUAUUUGUAUAUCUACUAUACACACUUAUUAUCCAUAUAUUUUCAGUGAUUGGACUACAACUUUUAAUCGUAAAUAGAGAUUUCUUCUCCAAAUAGGAUUUUAGGAGAAGAAAUUAUGUUUAUGGAAAAGUUUUUACUAUAAAAAAUCAAAUUUAAUGUAGUAGAUCUUGACUUAUCAUGUUUGAAAGUCUAUGAUUAUUGAUAAAAAAAAAAAAUUAAUGUUAUUUUUCUUUUAAUUACAAGUCUGUUAUAUAUAAAAAAGUUAAUAUUUAAGUAUAAAACCUUUUAGAAAUGUAACUCAACUCUAUUUAUGGAAUAAUUUUAAAUUUUCCUUUUAGCGAAAGUUGAAAUAAACAUAAAAUAACUACUUUUAUUAUAAGUUGAUUUUAUGUUUGGAAUAGAAUGCUUUUAUUAUAAAUAAAGAAUAAUUAAGAUAUUUUAAAAUUUUAGUUAAAUAAAACUUGUUGAAUACACAAAUAUUUUCUCUCUUUACACCCAUCUUAUUUUAAUUUUAUUUUUUUUAUAGUAAAAAUGUGAAUGUCUUUUUCUUCAUCAUCCUUUUGAUGCUCAUGUCUCAAAUCUUAAUUAGCUUUCUUAUUCACUUUUCUUCCCCUUUCCUUUAUUUUAUUUCAAUUUUCUUUUAACUAAAAUAGAAAAACAACUAAAAAAUAAUAAUAGUUGGCGUGCAACCAUGACUAUUGUCGGUAUAGAUAGAAAAGAAUUGGUGGAUUAAAUAACCACUAAAUUAAUCAUCAAAACUUUAACUUUUUAACUCAAUAAAAUUUAGACUUGACAAACAAUGGGUCAUACACAUUGAACAAAUGUUAUGCAAUUCAAAAAGUGAUAUAUGGCAAAAUUUGAAAGGCCACAAAAUCAAAUCUUGUAAAAUAAAAAUAAAAUAAAAUGAUUAAAGUAAAAAAGAGAAUUAGAAAAAGAUACUCUCUUGUUAGUAAAUUUCUGAAAUGAAAGAAACAAAUUGCUUAAUUGAAGUCAAAAGAGAAUUGUAAAGAAAUAUUCUCUCGUUGAUAAAUUUUUUAAAUGAGGGGACACAAAUUGCUAAAUCAAUCAAUCAAAUCCCUUAAAUUGAGUAAUCAACUAUUGGGGAUUCCAAAUUUAAUAUCUUAACUUCACCUAUAAAUAAAUAUCAACUCCUUCAAUAUAGGGGAUUAAAAAAAUAAAUAAAUAAAUAAAUUUAAGAAGAAGACAGAGAAAAAAGGAUUCUCAAGGAGAAAAAUGUUUCACAAUAUGCCCCCUACAAGUCCAAAAAAAGCACAUGAAAAACUACAUACAUACUUUUCACCAUUCUCAAAGUUCAAUAAAGUCAUUUAGAAACAAACUAUGUAAGACUCUCAAUUGAACUUUAAUUUCAAAGAAAUACUUACAUCGUCAUUCACUAGAUUAUGAUUAAAACAAUCAAAUCAAAGGAAAAUUUUCUUUACAAAGAAUAUUAUAAUGGAGAAUUAUACCUCAUAAUUUUUCUAAUUAGGAAAAUUUAGGUAGGUGUAUUUAACAACUCAUUCAAAAAUAAAUUUUAUCCCUAAAAAAUUAAUAUACAUUUAUAGGAGCACUAAGUGACAAAAUUCGAAACUAAUGGAGAUUUAAUGCAAUUUUAUGAAGAUUAGACUGAACGAGGACCGGAUUGGUCUAGUUCACCACAUCAAGCCAAAAAUGAGUUGAAUCGACAUUAAAUCGGUCCAACCACUAGGUGAGUUAGCUCAGCCAAUUCAAGAGCUACACUUUACUCCCUUUUUUCUUUUCCAAAACUCACCUAACGGUCCAACACAUAUAAGCCCAUAGUUAAUUUGCAUGAAUGACAAGUUUAUAUAGUCUACUUUUGCUUCAUGCUUUUUCAAUGUAGAAUCAAGUGAAUUUUUGUUUUUCGAGACUAAAUGUCAUGACCAUGGGAUUUGAACAAAAGAUGGAACACCCAAGUUAUCCUUACAUGUUUGCAAAGAAAAGCAUUUGAAAGUGAUUGCUACUCAAAAAGUGCUAUUUGAUAGCCUGUAAUUAACUCUUUUAAACACUUUUGAGUAGUAGUUAUCACCUUUGAACCCAAUUAACAUAUUAAGGACCCUUGCAAUCAAUUCUAAUCAAAUUGUGUUAAGUUUUGGUGUUUUGAUAGCUUUUUUAUCACCAAAGCAAUCCGUGAUUAAGGAGAGUUCUUUGGAAUCCAUAGCAAAGCAAUGGAAAGCUCAUAAACAUGAAGAACCGAAGCUUUGAAGUCCUUUUCCAUAAGCAGAUUCGGAACGCAAUGAGUAAAAGAUGUCCGGACAGGAUGGCAGCGGAAGUCAAUGAUCCGGACAACAUAUCCGGAUAGGAUAUGUUAUCGUCCGGGUAUGAUGUUCACGAGUGCCGUGUGCUUUUCCCUGAGGGAGUCCGGAUAAGGGGAGCGCGCCACAUGUCCUCUUGGGGAAUUCGGAUGGUGUUGAUCCGGAUAGCCUUGCGCUCUCCAUGUCAUCCGAGAGAGGGGUCCACUUACGCAACAUAGCUCAUUCCACCCGGGGAAGAAUUCUAUCCGGCCGACUUUCCACCUUCUCCGGACAUUUCAUAUCCAGAAUUCCGUGCGCCGACAUUUUACAUCCGGAUGUGAGCCGUGCGCCGACAUUUUGCAUCCGGAUGGGAGAGGAGGACGUUUCAGCUUCUCCGGUCAGACAUAUCCGGAUCCACUGAUAGCACUUACCAAGAGAGUUUUUCUCUCAGUAUACAGUGCCACGGUGUUCUCCUGAAGCUUCCUGAUAUUUCCGACCGACAUCCUGAGAUAUUUUGCUUUAGAUAUUUGUUAUCUAAAUCCCCAAACUCUCCUUGUAAUCCACCUAUCAUAGGAUUCCUUAGUCUUUAAGUAAGAACAAAGGGGUGAAUAACCUCAUAUAUAUAGUUUGUAAUUUUCUUUACAGAGGAUAAUUAUGUAAUCGACGGAAGAAAGAAAUAUAUUUCAUAGAGCACUUGCUCUGUUUUUCCUUCAUAUAAUUGUUUUCUCGUUAGUUUUCUUAUUAGACAAACAAGCUUUGAGGAAGUUUCCUCAGAGAAUGAGUGGCUAGACUUUUAGUUCCUUGGAGUUAAGGUUGCCAGGAAAGGUUCCAAGUGCAAGAAUUAGUAGCUUUGUGGUUUCAGUCAUUAAUGAAGAGAAAGUGUGAUCCUUUAAUGAUUUCUAUGUUUUUAGUUAACUUAAAACACCUUCAAGUCACUUGAGCCAACACUUGGUAAGGCACGUGAUCUCCGUCCAUGGAGAUGCACUAGUUUACCUCUUGCGAGCUUUUGGGAAGUGACUUGAAGGUAGGAUUUUCUAGAAUUGCCAACACUUGGUAAGCUUUUGGACUCCAAGGAGACAUCCAUUAGUUAUCUCUUGCGAGCUUGAGAAGGGAAGUCCAAAGUUAAAGAUCACCUUGAAUGGAAAAUUCUAGGUGAGAGGCACGAGCCAUUGCAAGUUGCAUCAGUGAGAAGGAAUUAGAGCUGAAAUCCAUUUAAAGGAUACAUCUGUACAGCACCGGUUAGAGAAUUGACUAUAUGUUAAUUCUCUAAUGCGAGGAAAUGAACCAAAUGACCAGAGCUCUGUUUUUGCAUAAGGAACCUCCCCUGUGAACCUAAACCUCCAAGGAAUGUUUUUCUUCAUAAGUAAUUUCCAUUACUUUCUUUUCAGUUAGCUUUAAACAAAACCUCAUUUAAACAAAGUUUGUGUUUUAUUUCUUAAGCUAACCUUGAAAUGAAAAAGCACCAAUUUACUUUGAAUUGGUAUCACUUGUGAGUUGAAAACCCUUCCCAGUGAACGAUCCUAGAGCCACUAUGCUAUAUUAGCUAAGCUAUCCUAAUGCAUGGUGAUAUAGGUUAUAAAUUUUGUUGAUUACUCUCUCAAUCAAAGAGCACCAGCUAGACAUGAAUCAGUUGAGACACCAAUUGGGAACGAAUCAAAUGGCGCCAUUGCCGGGGAAGGUGCCAACUUCAUAGUGAUAUUAUUUCAGGGUACUUGUGGUUGUCAUCACAAGUUUGGUGAGUUUUCUCUCAUUUUACUAACUCUUUUAGUUUUUUUUCUUUUACUCGUUUAUAUUCUAGCAUAGUUUUUAAUUUAGUUUUAGUUAAUCGAACUCUUUUUGGUAGUUUUGUUUUUGUUUUCCUCUGUUUUUGUUUUUUUUUUUCUUUGUUACAGUUAAUACUAGUUGUGUAUGCCAAAGUGGAUACGAGAUUGUGGAGGAAGGCUUGUUAAACUUGAAACACCUCAUAACAAGGAGUUGGAAGUAAUCUUGAACAUCAUGGAAUCAAAAAGCUAUAUAUACAUUAUUGAAAAUUUUAAAAUGAAUAUAAAUAUUUAUGAUUUAUCUAUAAUAAAUAUGGGAAUAAUAUAAAUAAAAAACUAAUAAUUUGAAGAUAAUAAAAUGUAUAGCAAUUGAAAUACAAACAAAUUAAAAUAAUAAAAUCUUUUUAUCUUAAUAAAUAAAAGUUACUCAUUUAAUAAAACAAAAAUUACUAAUAAUUUAAUAAAUCAUUAAGUUAUCCUUAUCAUAUUUUAAGCUAUCAAUAUUAACAAUAAUAAAAUGAUGAAAUGUGUUUAAAAUUUAAUUACUUAUUUAUUUUCUUAUUUUGUAUAAUUGUUUUUAGUUUUAUUAAUAAUGCAAUUUAUAUAUUUAUGACAUCAUUGGUUUAAUCAUUUCAACCAUCGAUUUGAUCAGGGAAUUGUGAACUAAUAAUUUUUCCAAUUUAAUGAUUAAUCCAACUUUGAAAACAUUAUUUUAAUGUAUGUACACUAAACCUUAGCGGAUGUGAUUGAAAUUAACUCAUACAAACAAUUUUGUUCGUAUAUAUUUCUAGUUCUUUUACUUAUGUUUAUAUGACUUUUGAAAUUUGCACAUAUAAUUGCUAUUGAUAGCAUUUGGAUAUGCAUUCUAACCUAUUGGUCAUGACUAAGCAAAACCACUAUAAACAACCAUGACAUGAGUACCAACAAAGCCAAGUCACUCACCCUCUUCAUAUAGUUUUUAUUUUUAUUUUUAUUUUAUUUUUAUUUUUAUUUUUGUUAAUGUUUGGAUAUGAGAAUAAGGAAAAAAAGACAAGACAUGCAAGCAAGGGAAAGGAAAAGUAAUGGGAGGGAUAAAAGAUUCAUAAUAAUGAUAAGGGCUUAAGUAUGGUACAGAUAAGACCUUUUUAGUACCAAUUAGUGGGUAUCACAUAUGCACUGGUUCAUUGCUUUGUUCUUAGCAUCUCAUUAUUUUGUAUUGUGACCUCCCAAGUUGGAUCAAACUAUGCAUCACUUUCCUCCUCAAGAUCAAAAAUCCAAAAAAUAAAAAAGAAUAGGUCGAUUAGACAAACCUUUCUUCAAUAAUCAAGUUAACCAUGAGGUUAAGUGAAAAAGACAUAAAAGAUUAAAUUGUUUUUGUACCUUAUUUUGGUGUAUUAAUUAUGAGAAGUUAAUAAAUGGAGGCAUCAAUUAUAUAUUAUACCUUCAAUGAUUUCCAUUAUCAAUAUCUUAAAGGCUCUAAUCAUUAUGCAAUAAUUAUGGAAUGACAUUUAAGGUUUUGGUCAUUACAUGAUUAAUAUGUGAGUCAUUGUCAUUACAUAAUUAAUGUAUAGGUUAUCAUUUAUACAAGGUCGUAUUUUCAAAUACUGAUCAUAUUUUAUGAGUGGUAGUCAUUCCUAAAUGUGAUCAAUGCUUUUUGUGAUAUGAUGAUGAUAAUGAUCUAUUAUUGUAGUGAGGUGGGUCUCAUGGGACCUCAUGACAAGCAUUAUAUGGAGGUAGCACAUUGCUUUUUUUACUUUGCUACAUGACAAAGGAUUUUCAUAUCGCUACACUUCCUAUUUUACAUGUGAACUAAUUAUUUUAUAUUUUAGUUCCAUUAUUUUGUAGUUGAGUCUUAUUACAGGCAUUACAUUUUAAUCUCAAUGAUCUAUAUAAUGGUUACAUGUGUUUAUAACAUGGGUCUUUAUACUUUCAUUUAGUGACUCAGAUUUUAUUAUAUACUUAAAUGAUUAAGAUUAAAUUUUCAAUAUCAUAUCAAAUAUAAACCCAAUAUUUUUUUUAUAAUAAUAAAUUUAUUGAAGAAAUGUAUGACUGAAUAUUAGAGAUUGUGGCUCUCAAGUUAACACUAAAAAAACUAUGCACAUAGAAAAUUUUAGUGUUAAAAAACUUGAGGAGAAUUAUUUCCAAUUGGUGACAUGUGUUAGGUAUAAAGUUGCUUUUAAUAAAAUUGAUAACUACAUUACUUAAAUAUAAUACCUUAUUGGUAAUAAUAGUAAAGGUUUAAUUAUGACACCAAAUACUACUUUUUUUGGUAUCAUAUAAAAAAGUUAUCAUCAACUAAGGGUAUCAAAUGUAUGCAUGUUGAUCCUAUUACUUUGUACUUGAUAUCUAAUUAGUUAUACUUUAUAUACAUAAUGAUCGUAUUGGUUUGUAUCUUGGUUCAUUACUUUUCAACAUAUGAUACCUAGAUUUCAUUAUUUUAUACUAAGUGUUUCAUUGUUUUAUACCAUAUAUGUGAUCUCAUUGAUCCAUACCUUUGUUCCAUUAUCUUGUACCAUGUGAUAGCUCAGUUCCCUUGCUUUUGCUAUGUAUUACAUGGGACUUUGGUUCCAUUAUUUUGUAUUCAAUUGUGUUAUUAUUUUAUAAUUUAUAUAUAAUUCUAUUGUUUUCUACCUUAAUUUCACUAUUAUUAACUGUGAAUAACAAUCUCAAUAAAAAAGUUUUCUAUGAUAUGGGAUCUAUAUUAUAUAUUAAAUUUAUCAUAGAAGGAAGAUAAUUGCUCGCCAUCUAAUGCUCAAAAAAACUUAUGCAUAUGAAAGAUUUUCGUGUCAGAAAAUUAGAGAUUUUUUUUUUCUAGAAUUGAGUCAAAAAGGUACAUGUGUGACAUUUAAAUUUAUGAUUGAGAUAAGACCAUUUGGAAUUAGAGAAUUGAUCGAUGUUCAAUUAAUAAUGCAGCAGUGUUGAAAUUCAGUGGAAUUAAUUUAGUUACUAUUGAAUGGAUGUCUCACAAAGUGGACUAAAUUUUAUCGAUUUGAUUGAUUCGAAAAAUUCAUAUGUUUAACGGAUUUAAUAUUGGUGAUUAAUUAUAUCAAUUCGAAAAAUUACAUACUUCUUACAAUCAUUCAAUAUUAAAUUAUAUUGUUUAUUAGGGAGGAUUGAAGAGAUCAAAGAAUGCCAAGGAAAAAAAAAACAAUGACACACGCCCACAGGCUAAGACUUCAACAUUAGCUAGUGAUUUAUUCUAUAUUCUAUGUCAGCCAUGACAUCACCUCCAUUAUUCUUCUCCAAGCCAAAACCACAUGCUGAAGAUCUAUAUAUAUAUCUGAAUCAUCCGGUGUUUAAUUCCACUGAAAGUAAGAAAAUUUCUUAGAAUUUUCUCUGUUAGCCGUAGUAUUAGCUAGUGAUGAUGAAGAAAAUAGAGCUUAUUUUUGUCUCUGUCUCAGCUAUAGGACAUAUUGUAUCAACUGUGGAGUUUGCUAAGCUUCUUGUUGGUAGAGAUGACCGCUUCUCAGCCACUCUGCUCAUCAUGAAGCUACCUUUUGAGGACUCUGCGGCAACCAACUAUAUCCAUUCAGUUUCUGCUUCCGUUUCCGGGUCCAUUCGAUUUGUCCACCUUCCUGAACUCGACUCAGAUUCAUCAUCGUCAUCCACUAGUAUCUUAUUCUCUAAUAUCAUUGAAAGGCAGAAGCCUCUGGUGAGGGAUGCAAUUCACCAUCUCACUCGGUCUGAGUCAGGUCGACUCGCUGGGAUUGUGGUCGAUUUGCUUUGCACUUCCAUGAUAGAUGUAGCUAAUGAAUUGGGUGUUCCUUCCUACGUGUACUUCGCCUCCAGUGCGGCCUGCCUUGCUCUCAUGUUUCAUCUUCAAACCCUCAAGGACCACCAGGGCUUGGAUGUUACUGAGUUUGCUAACUCGGAUGCUGAGUUGGUGGUCCCGGGUUUUGUCAACUCGGUUCCUGCUCGAGUCUUGCCUGCUGUGGCGGUGGACAAGGAGGGUGGCGGAUCCAUGGAUUUCCUCGACCGGGCAAGGGGCUUUAGAGAGGCCAAGGGUAUUUUGGUAAAUACGUUUGUGGAGCUAGAAUCUCAUGUGAUUAACUCCUUUGUCGAUGGUACAACUCCUCCCAUUUACACAGUAGGGCCGUUAUUGAACUUACAACAUGCCAACAACCAAAAACAAGAUAGUGGCUUGGAUGUCAUCCGAUGGCUUGAUGAUCAGCCCACAUCAUCUGUGGUGUUUUUAUGUUUUGGUAGCGCUGGAGCAUUCCACAUGGAUCAAAUCAAGGAGAUUGCAAUUGGGCUUGAGAAUAGUGGGCAUGGUUUCUUGUGGACACUCCGAAGACCUCCACCAAAAGAUAAGAUGACACUAUCUAGUGAUUAUGUGAAUUUCAAUGAAGUAUUACCUGAAGGGUUCUUAGAUCGUACAUCUAAAAUUGGAAAGAUAAUUGGAUGGGCACCACAAGCGGCUGUUUUAGCUCACUCUGCAGUAGGAGGGUUUAUAUCUCAUUGUGGGUGGAAUUCUACAUUAGAAAGCAUAUGGUAUGGUGU
Molecule: long non-coding RNA, 73173 nt
Filed under: Vitis vinifera (wine grape)
Lineage: Eukaryota; Viridiplantae; Streptophyta; Magnoliopsida; Vitales; Vitaceae
Description: long non-coding RNA (VVIN_LNC000888)
Source: RNAcentral